Molecule: long non-coding RNA, 54630 nt
Filed under: Prunus persica (peach)
Lineage: Eukaryota; Viridiplantae; Streptophyta; Magnoliopsida; Rosales; Rosaceae
Description: long non-coding RNA (PPER_LNC003100)
Source: RNAcentral
AAAUGUGGUGGAGUGUCACUUGGUGUUGGCCUGGAACAUCGUGUAGCAGAUGGCCUUUCUGGUCUCCACUUUGUAAAUACAUGGUCUGAUAUUGCUCGAGGUCUUGACCUUACAAUUCCACCAUUCAUUGACAGGACAUUACUUCGUGCCCGAGACCCACCACAGCCUGCAUUUGAUCACAUUGAAUACCAACCUGAUCCACCCAUUAAAACUGGUACAAAAGCUGUAGGUGAUGAGAGCGCAACGGUAUCCAUUUUUAGAUUGACAAGGGAGCAGCUCAACAUCUUGAAAGCCAAGUCUAAGGAAGAUGGGAACACAAUCAACUAUACCACAUAUGAGAUAUUGGCAGGCCAUGUUUGGAGAUGUGCAUCUGUGGCACGUGAACUUCCUGAUGAUCAAGAGACCAAACUACAUAUUGCAGUUGAUGGAAGGUCCAGACUGCAACCCCCACUCCCACCUGGUUUCUUUGGCAAUGUGGUUUUUGCAGGCGCACCAAUUGCUGCAGCAGGGGAUCUCAAAUCAAAACCAACAUGGUAUGCUGCAAGCUGUAUUCAUGAUACUGUUGUGCGUAUGGACAACGAUUAUCUUAGAUCAGCACUGGACUAUCUUGAACUUCAGCCUGACCUGUCACCCCUUGUUCGCGGAGCUCAUACUUUUAGGUGCCCGAGACUUGGAAUAACUAGUUGGUCUAGGCUGCCGAUCUAUGAUGCUGAUUUCGGUUGGGGUCGACCUAUUUUCAUGGGGCCUGGUGGAAUGGGAUAUGAGGGGUUGGCUUUUGUGUUACCAAGUGCAACAAAUGAUGGAAGUUUAUCGGUGGCCAUUUCUCUGCAAUCUCAACAUAUGCAAUCAUUCUCCAAGUUGUUGUAUGAGAUAUAAGGACAUGAAAUGCGUCGAAUGGGGGCAAUACGUUGAACAGACUUCGGGCUUCUGUGUGUGUCCUCUGAGUUCUGGGACUUUUCAUUGACUCUAGCCUAGCUGAUCGGAAAGCAGCUGUUUUUGAAAAGUUCAAGUGGUCUUUUGGUUAAUCUAUAUUAGAGUAUCUGUUUUAGAAACAACCUAGUACUGAAUAAGAUUGUCAGAGUAUCUGUGAGCUUUGUUUAUUGCUGUGGAGGACUUCUUUUUCGGAGUAUCUGUAGUUUACUGUGAUUGUUAAUAAGGUUUUCUUUCUCCAUGAAACAAAAACAUACUGAAUCACUUUGGUUGCAUAAAGAUUGGUGCCUUUGGUGAAGCUACACUUUGGUUAUACUUUCAGAAAUUUUGGUUUAAUGCAAGAGCAUUUGUAGUGUUUUUAUUUCUCACUGAAAAAGGAUCAAGAGGUUCUUCUUCUGGAGACUUCAGUGUCAAGUCUGCCCCUUUGCUGAAUUUUCCCAAAUGAGAAUUCCCAGCUGUUCCUUCAUAUGGAAAUCCAAAUUGCCUCCUAAAGACAAAUGCUUUCUUCUUCAAAUAAGUAACCAAGGAACGAAGACUUAAAGAGGCGUAUGGUUUCUGAGUAGUCUAGAAGGAGAUCUUGUUACCCCCAACAACUUCAAUACUCUCAGUUUGAAUGCUGCUAUGACUGGGUUGAAGCCUCUUAGGCAUGACCCUCCUUCUCAGUUGGGUAUAUCCCCUGGAAUUUAGGCAGUUUUUCUAUGGCUUGCUGGAUGUUAUGGAGGAGGAGAUGCUGUAGGGCCUUUGGAAGGGAAUUUCAGUUGAGGCGUUUUUGUUCACCCAUUCUCAACCCUGGGACUCAGUUCAGCUACCCUUUCUGCGUUUCCUUUGUUUGGCUUUUUAUGAAGUCCAUGUAUGAGGACCAGUCCACUGAUUUUGGAGACACGGGGCAGAAAUAAAAGUUGACGCCUUUUAUAUUCAACACCCACUUCAUUUUGAACAAAAAUAAAAAUAAAAAAUUCCAUAUUUAUGUGCUAAGUUGGUUAGUUUAAGUAAAAGAUGGCCACUAUGUGAAAAAUAAAGAGAAGUGCCUAAAUCUUUUCAAAAUAAAGCUCAAAAAGCAUUCAUUAGAUGUAUAAAGAGACUUUUUUACUACUAUAAUUCUUGGCCUAAAAUGUUUUAUAGGAAUUCCAUUUUUUAAGGGGCCUUGUGCUGUCGGCCGUCCUGCACACCUUGCGGGUGGGGGCAUGCCAUGUAUUAUUCCAAACUCGUCAUUUUCGUUACUUUUUCCUACAAUUCGAUCAAUGUCAUUCCUAUCCUCUUAUGUUAUACGUAAAUAUAUGUAUAUUUUAACGUUCAAUGGUUAGAUUACCGUCAUUUUACGUCAAUUUCGUCAAUUAUAUUAAAGCCAACUCGUCUAAAGUUCUACUAUCAAAUGACGGAUAUUUACAAUUGUUUGAUUUUGAAAAUUACCGUCAUCCAUAUAACUGACAACAACUAUUGAGCCUCAUCUAUACACAAGGACUAUAGCCUAGCGCGACUUUGGGCCUAAAUGCUUUUGUUUUAGAAUCUCUAAGCCACGCCCUCUCCUUUAGUCACACGCUUUACACAAAAUUUGGUACGAAAAUACCAAAAAAAUAGAGAUAGCUUAAUUGAAAUUGGUUUAUUCAUGGAAUUCAUAUAUCAUAAAAAACAAAAACAAAAAGAAUAAUAAAUAAAACAAAUCAAAAUAUUAGCGUGCAAUAUUCUGGCAAAGAAACAAUGGAAACUCCAGUUCUGAACUUCACCAAUUCCAUCAAUCCCAUGACCUCCAUUACUCGACCCUUGCCCUCUUUCGGUAAUUUUCUUCUGCCCCAGCUCUCUAUAUUAUAUAGCAUUAAAUAUGGUGAUUCUCCGCAUCUUCAAAUUAAAGGUAGUGAUUAUAAUAUCUCUCUAAUUAAAAAUAAUUUUUAUUAGAAAUCAUCCACUUUUUAACUGUCUUAAUUUUAGUCCUCAAACUUUCAAAUUAAUAAAUAUGACCUCCAAAAUUUUGGUUCACACAUAAGUUUGGUCCGUAUCAUAUUUUGGAGAUGUGCAGGCAACGCAAGUGACCUCCCCACUACAAAAAAAAAGUGGCAACAAUUAUCAUUAUUUGGUGACAUUUGCUGGGGUGACUAAAGUUUUAGCCAUCCCAGCAAAUGUCACCAUAUAAUGGUGAUUGUUGUCACUUUUUUUUUGUAAUGUCCCCUUAAUCACCAAACUAGUUAUUGCCACUAAUGGAAGGUCAAGACUGCAACCCCCACUCCUUCCUAGUUACUUUGGCAAUGCGAUUUUCACAACAACGCCAAUUGCUGUCGCAGGGGAUUUCCAAUCAAAAUGAACAUGGUACGGAGCAAGCCACAUUCAUGAUGUUUUGGUUCAUAUGGAUGAUCAAGGUUUUAAAACGCAAGGUGUUGAGGCGAGAUGCUUUUGAUCUCGCAAGGUGAAGUGUAACCCUUUCAAACAUUAAUUAUUUUAAUUAAAAAUAUAAAAUUAUAUAAAAUAAUUAUAAACGGGUACUAAUUGUCUCCUAAGUAGAAUAAUCAAGUAUUCUAGGAGGACAAUUUAGGGUACUGCAGAUAUGAUUUCUGGUUCAACAAUUCUGUAGAUAUGAUUUCUGGUUCAACAAUUCUACUGCGUGGGAAGGGCAUAAACAGUUGCAGGAUAUUUACCCUAAAUCUCACAGAGUCUUAAAAAUAGGCUAAAGACUGUUAAAUUGCGAGCAUGCCACUAUUAGCAGUGUAAAACCCUAAUAGAUCUUAAUGAAUUAAAAUAACUUAUGCACCAAGAAACCUGACUUCCAAUCAAACAAUUGUGCUUGGAAUAGAGAACUGGUUCAAUAUGGAUUUUUUCUAUGCCUCAAGAUAAACGAGGACUUUAUUAUUUCUCUAAUACAAAGCUAAGAGAUAAAAAACAUAAACAAGUAAACAAUGUGUCAAAUCGAUCAUAUCUGGUGAGAACUAAGACUGCCAUUACCUUUGAGUUGCCUCAUAGCCACUAGAACGAGAGUAUUUUUGUUCACCACUUUAACCCAAGUUGUACCAUUAUCACCCUUCUCAACACUUGACACGUAUCUGUGGGCAUAACUAUGGUUAUGCACAUGGACAGUGGCAAAGCCAUGAAUCUUACCACAAGGGGUCUUAGUGUAAAAGUCCAAAUAAAAAUUUAGGAUGGAAAAACAUAUUGAAAAUGAAAUCAUAGUAUUUUCAUUCAUAAUUCAUAACGGAAACAAUAUUACAAGCUAUAAUUGUCCAUGACGAGGUUUCAUAUUUUGAAAACGAAGCAUUAUAGCUUCAUUUUCAAUACAAGCAAAAAUAUCUCUCUCAAUAUAAACAAGCAAGCUAUCACUCAACCAUUGAUCUCCCAUUUUGUUCCUAAGUGGACCCUUAACAAUAUUCAUGAUAGAAAAUGCUCUCUUCACUGAAGCAGUUGCAACCGGUAAAACUAAAGACAAUGUAAUGAGCAAAUACACAUAAUUGAAUACUUGAUGCAUCCUUGUUUCCACCAUUUUUUUUUUUGCAAGAUCACCAAUCCCUUCCAGUUGAGAAAAGUCACUACUAGAACGCACAUAAUGGAUAUAAAUCUCAAGUUGAUCUUCAAGUGCCAAACGAUCCUCAUCCGAAAAGUCUUAAGGAUAAAAUUGAGCAAGACGAAGUAACUUUGAUUUAUCAAAAGCUAUAAAUGAAUCUUUCGGACUCAAACAUGCCAAACAAAUUAGCAAUUCGGUAUUUACCUCAUUAAAGCGAUCCUCUAACUCCGUAAUUUUUUCAUCAAUGACAUAAAUAAAGAGCUUCACACGAUAAUGAUGACGAUUUGUCUUUAUUGGAGCAUUACGCCUUGACCUCCCUGGAAGUAUAAAUGCCUCUUCCAUGUUAGGAACAUAAAUAUGAUGUUUUUCACAAAAAGAAAAUAUUUCAUUAACCAAUGUAUCGAACCCAUUAUUCCUCAUCUAAUGUAGCUUUUCCUUGCAUGAUUUCACUAAAGUCAUUGCAUUCACAAUUUCUUGAUCUUUCCUUUGCAAUGCUUGUGACAAAUCAUUUGUGAGUCCCAAUAUGGCUUUCAUCAAGAAAAGGUGAAACACAAACUCAAAAAUACGUAUUUCUCUCAUUAACUUAUUUGCUUCACCCGCAUUUUCAUUGGGAUUAUCAUCAAUAACCAUUUGAAGCACAUGAACCACUGAUGAAAACAUAGAAAUGAUGCUAAUCAAGGUACCAUAGUAUGAGUUUCAUCAUGUGUCACCGGCAUGUUUGAGACUUGUUUCUUGAUUUAAGUCUCGCCCCGUUAUAAGACAAUCAUGUUCAAAAGCUAUCACAAGCUCUUCAUAAAGUUGCCCUCUAAGUAAAUCACGCCGCUUACAAGAUGCUCCAACAUGAUUAACCACACUAUUAGUAGUUGCAAAAAAAGAGGCAAAUGUCUAUAUUUUUCUUUGCUACGGCAACAAGAGCUAGUUGAAGUUGAUGAGCAAAGCAAUGAACAUAAUAUACACAAGGUUGUUCUCUCAAUAUCUUUGUUUUAAGGCCAUUCAACUCACCUCUCAUAUUGCUAGCAUCAUCAUAACCUUGUCCUCGUAGCUUGGAAAGGCACAAAUCGUUGCGAGAAAAAAAUGUGUCAAUAGCAUCCUUUAGUGAACUUGAAGUAGUGUCAGUAACAUGUUGGAUACCCACAAAUCUUUCAAUUACAUGCCCUUUGUUAUCCAUAUAACGCAAUACCAUAGUCAUUUGCUCUUUCACCGACACAUCACGUGCUUCAUCCAUCAAUAUUGAAAAGAAUUUAUCUUUUAGACCAUCCAUGAUAGCAUCAAGUGUUUCAAGGGCAUAUGAAUUCACAAUUUCUUUUUGAAUGCAAGGAGCUAGUAAUUUGAGAUUCCCAGGAGCAUUUUCCAUCACAACUUCUCUAACUUUAUCAUCAUUAUCUGCAAGGAAUUGCAAUAGCUCCAAGUAAUUUCCCAUAUUGCUUGAAGUGGCACUUUCAUCAUGGCCACGAAAAGCAAGACCUUGUCGCAAUAAAAACUUAGUGCACUUGAUUGAUGCAUUCAAGCAUGUGCGAUAAGCCUUACGAGCUUGGUCGGAGUGUUUGCUCACUGCCGUUUCAAUAUGUGUAUUUCGAUUCAUCAAAUUUGUAGCAGCUUCUCUAGCCUUAUUAUGAACACUCCCAACCGGUCCAACAUGCAUCUUAAAUCUUCCUCUCCCUUUCUUCCAAUUCUUAAAUCCAUCUUCAGUGAAAGCUUCACUACCCACUUGUUCAAAAUUGGUUUAAAGAGAUAGCAAUAGAGACAAUAUGCCGCAUCUGUAGAUAUACUAUACUCCAACCAAUCAAACUCAUCAAACCAUUGGGGAAUGAAACGUUGAUUAAUUCCUGACAUAUUAGUUAUUGGGAAAUUAUGACCUCUAGGUUGACAAGGUCUUUUUUGUAGAUAUGAUCUUCGGACCUCAUCUCUCAUAUUAGCAUCAUAAUCUAUCAUUCGAGUUCUUAAUCCAGGGUCCGCUUGAAGAUUACCUAAAACACCAUAUAACUGACUUUGUCUUGAACUUGGAGUUCUUGAACUACCAACAUUAUUUGAACUAUCAACAUUAUCCGAACUACACGAACCUGAUCAUGAUUUUCUCUUAAAAAACCGUUCCAUAAUAUUCUACAUAUACAAAACAAUCAAAAUAAAUACUCACAAUAUAAACAAACCAUCAACAUAAUCAAAAUACAUAUGAAUUGGAUUUCAAUUAAAUUAAAUAUAUUCUACAUAUACAAAAUAAUGAAAAUAUAAACUCACAAUAUAAACAAACCAUCAAUAUAAUCAAAAUAAAUAUGAAUUGAAUUUCAAUUAAAUUAAAUAUAUUCUACAUAUACAAAAUAAUGAAAAUAAAAAAUUAUAAUAUAAUCAAACCACCAAUAUAAUCAAAAUAAAUAUGAAUUAGGUUUCAAUUAAAUUAAAUAUAUCAUACAUAGUAACAUAGGAUUUAAAACUUACUUGAAUUGUGAAAUUUCACAAUAACAAUGAGCAAAUACAAAGAGAGUAGCUAGCGGCACCACCACAACGACGACGACGGUAGCACAAAGGCACCUCAAUUGUGGCAGCCAGGGAGGGGAUUGAGUUGAAGGUUUUGGGGGGGUUGGUGUGGGGUGGGAAUUGAGUUGGGAACUUAGGGUUGGAGGAGGAGAAAACAAAAGAAAAUUGGGAGUUUUGGAAUGGAGGAAUUGGGUUUGUGGAAAAGCAAUGGCUGGAGGAUACGUUGGUCAUUAUUUUUUUUUUUCAGACCUGGCUCAAAACGACGUCGUUUUUGCCAGGUUAUUUACAAAAAAUUCACUGUGCCAAAACAACGUAGUUUUGGCCAGGUCAUUUAAAAAAAUUCCCUGAGCCAAAAGGACUUUCCUGAGCCAAAACUACGUCGUUUUGCCCAGGUUGUUUAAAAAAAAAAACUCGCACGCCAGUCAGCCUUCUUCUUUUUCAGCCUGCGAACCUUCCUUCUUCUUUCAGACAUUUCGUCGACCACUUGGUGUGCAGCUCCAAGAGGUCGCACCAGCAGCUCCAAGGGACCUCUAAGCCUAUUUCCAUGGCUUCCAAGAGGUCGUGCGACCCCAUUGACCCCACUGUGGCUCCGCCUCUGCACAUGGACACUUGUCAAGUGUUGAGAACUAUGUGUAUCUUUUUAUGUUUAUUAAUAAAAUUCACUCGUAUCAUAGAGUUUAAUAUAUAAAUUUUGCCCAAUCGACUUUCAAAUUCUAGAACCGCCACUAGGGUGUAGUGUGCAGUUCGAACAUUGAGGCGGUCAUAGGUUUUGAGAAGGAUAGGCCACUGAGAGGUGUCCAUGGAAGGAGUCGGGGUUAAUGAAGUCUUUGUCCAAAUCAUUGUCUUUAUGUCUAUGCUUUUUCUUCUUUUUCUUCUUUAUAUCUGCCCUUUUCGCCACGGCCUUCACUGGGGUUCGAUCAUCAUCAGAAGCCAUUUCCUGCACAUUAGACAGAACAAAAAUGAAAAAAAAAAAAAGAAAAAAAAGAACACUAGAACAGCAGGUAAAACCCAACAUCAAAUACAAAUUUUAUUCUGGGCAAAAUUUAAGAGAAAAUAAUCGCUCUGAUUUUUCCAUUGUCAAACAAAAAAAACACUUAAUUAAUCAUUACCCAUAAUAGAGUUAUAUUAUAUGCUUGGGGAUGGUGGCUUUCCUAAACAAAGCAUUAUCAUUAAGUUCCCAGUAAAGAGAUUAACACAAAAUGGCAGGGGUUUUACAAAUAAACUAGUUUCAGGUGCAGUGACAUGUUAGGAACCCUUAUCAGCUUCUGAAGACAAAAGAAGAGACUUUCACAUACAAAUCACUUGGAAGUAUUCAUAACAGAAAACCCAAAAGAGGGCAAGUAGAAAAUCAAUACCUUUUACUUAAAAGCACCUAAUCGGAAUGGUUCGGCGGCGGCAGAGGUAGGGGUUUUAAGAAGAGAAAGAGAGAAGAGAAGAGGAGAGAGUGGCGGGAGUUAGGGUUAUGCAAUUAACCCUGCUAUUUUAUGUUUUAUUAAUUACAAUUUUGGAGAUUUCUCACCUGUUCUUUUCUGGGAUCAUCUAGGAUAGAAAAAACCAAAUGUAACAGAUCAGAACCAUGAACAAACAAACUUUUCUUUCUCUUUUUCAUGUCAGUUUCAGAGGAAACAAACAGAGAAUUGGAUAGAGAAAUACCAUGGUUGCGAAGUUGAGCUGACGACUAGAGGAAGAGACGGCAGCAAACGAAGAAGGUCGAGGUCUCUCUCGCACUCGUUACCGUCUCCCAUGGUUGGAAAUUCAGAUCUGACCGCAUUGAGUCCGAUUUGAGAGCUCGAAGAGAGAGAAGGCUUGGCUGCCGGUGAAGAUGGGGUUUCCGUCGGUUAGGUGGGUGGGUGGGUACCUAAGGAAGAGAAGCCAUGGUUUUUGGUGUGAGUUUCUGGGACUGAGCUUGCAAUAUCCCACAUUCAUCUUUUCCCAGCUCUGUAAAUUUUCCAUCUCCAGGUUGAAAUGCAAGCUUUCGCGGGUGGGAGGCAAAGAAACCCACUAUAGCAGGUUAUCCAGUUUUUGUGUGUGGUGAUUUUAGUGAUUUUUCUUCACAAAUUAUUUUGAGCCAUUAGAUCAAAACUUUUAAAUCCAACGGUUAAAAGCUUUGAUGUAUAAGUAUUGAUACACCAGAGCAUAUUAGAAUUUUCGCUAGAUGACAUCUGUGAAGAAGUCACUAUAGAAUAGGCCUCAUUAUUUGGUCUGUGGGCUCAUGGGUCGAUAGGGGCUUGUCCGGCCCAUCGAAAAAAAGCCCGGCCCGGCCCAUUAUGGGCUUUGAGAUGGCUUGGCCAGCCUUGGGCUGGGCUAGGCUUGGGCUUGGGUGUCUCAAGCCCAGCCCAACCUGAUUAAGCCCAAGAAAGCUCGGCCUGGCUCGUUAGGCCCACAUACAUAUAUAAUUAUGUAUAAAUAGGAGUUUAGGUUUAGGAUUAAAUCACAUAUAUAAUUUGUUUCAUUUCAUUUACUUUUCUUUACUCAUUCCUAGUUUAUAAUUGGAUGAUUAACACAUUAAUUUGUGUCAAUUAUUAAUUCAACAAUUAUAUAUAUAAAUAAGAUGAACAACAUAUCACAUCACCAAAUAUAAUCAUAUCAUGAAACAUAAUCGUACCACCAAAUAUAAUCAUGCUUUUCUUGAACACAUCACCAAAUAUUUGCAUAUUUAUUCAUACCAUCCUUUAAAAAAAAAAAUUUGAUACUUAUUAUUUUUUAAAACGUAUUACGGUCUAAUUAUGUAAUAACCUCAAAAAUAAUACUUUGUUUUAUUAUUUUUUUGGAAAAUCUUAUUAAGUUGUGUGACUUUAUUUGGUGUUUUAUGAAUUUGGUUUGAUGUGAAAAUAUUGGAAUUAAGUUAGUUUAAUUUUAAAUUUGGACUAAAAUGCCCUUAUGAUUAAGUUUAUAAUUUUUUUUUAAUGAAGUAUGCCCAUUUAGGCCUGACCAGUUGGGCUUAGCCUUGCCCGGCCCGAUGGGCUUUCUCAAGUUUGGCCCAUGGGUUGGGCUUGGACUUUGAAUUUUCUAAAAAAAUCCGGCUUGGCCAAGCCAUAUAUUUUCUCUCUUCUUUUUAAAACCCGGCCCUGCCCAGCCCAAGCCCAUUAAAUUUGGGCCGAGCUAUACGAGCCCUACUACAGAAUGUCUUGAUUUGACAGUUACGUGGGUCCCAUACUUUUCAUGCAAAUUGAUCAGGAAGGUGAGAGGGAAGGGCCAUGAUGUUUUUUGGUUUUCUUAAGCAAUAGUUCUUGAACUAUACUCGUAGUUAUAUUUUGGUCACUCAACUCCAAAAAUAGAUGCAAAGAUCCCAUAAUUAUGUAUGGUGUUACAUUAGUAGUCCCUUUCGUCAAGUCUGUUUAUUUUUUCGUUAAAUCUAUGGAUAAACUUGAAAAUUCAUUCCAAAUAUUUAUAAAAACGAAAUAACAAAAAAUAAAUAAAUAAAGGUUAUUUGUAGCAAUGGUCCCUCAACUAUAGUCAAAGUUAUAUUUUGGUCACUCAACUCUAAAAAAUAGUUACAAAGGUCACUCAAUUAGAUGUAGUGUUGCACCAUUAGUCCUUACCGUCAAGUCUCUUUAACAGUAAAAACUAAUAGUGCAACACAACACCUAAUUGAUGAGCUGUUUGGGCCCUUGGCUGAUUGUUUCAAGUGGACAUACUUUGGUUUUGAUUUGAAUGGCAGAAGUGGUAGCUUAAUCCUACAAGUGCAUUUAUUGACCGAAAGGCAAAGGAUGGGACCAAUAAAUGUCUACAUCUAACCCAAAUAAGCUAGGCCUGCCCUUUCUUUUUAUAAUGAAUUCUCCAUACCUGUUCUUCACAAAUAUAUAGUGCACUAUUAAAGUCGGUCGCUCAACUUCGAGUGGUAUAACUUAAAAAAUAAAUAAAUAAAUAAAUAAAAUCGAGUAAUAUAAAGUAGGAGCUGAGGAAUCUUUAGAAGAUGAUAUUGUGAUGGAAAAAGAAGGUGAUUUUGAGAACUUGAGAGGGCCUUGGAUGGUUGUUCAAAAUAGGAGAAAACCGAAAAGUUGGGUUAAGGAUAGAGGAAACAAGGGAGCUGGAGGUCCCAGCAUAGGCUGUCGGUUUGACACGUUAAGAAAAGUGAAUGAAGACUUUGAUAGAAAUGGAGGGUUUGAUACUGGCAAGACUAAUUAGUUUGGGCCCAACCAUGUUGGCACAUCUAAGAGCACCUCCACCGCCCCGUCCACAGCCCCUCGAAGCUCAGGUUAGGCCCUCCAGCGUGCAGCCUGAAGAUCGGGCAAGUCCUGGGGCCCACUAGUCUGGGCAAGUCCAAGGGCAAUUCUUGGUUGGGCUCCAGCCCAAAGUGGUUGACGUCAACGAAGUGAAAUUAGAUUAUUAUUUUCUUUUACCGUUGGCGCAUGAAAUUCAGAUUUUUUUUUUCUUCUAUCAAUUUUUUUAUUUAUUGGGAUUUUCUAUUUAGAAUUACUAACGUACUCUUUUAUUUAGUUCAGUUGUUGAGAAGCACGAUAAUGGGCACUAGAAUAUCAGCCAGCGAAUCAUAGGACACUAGCCAGAUCAACAACAAUAGCCCAAUUGAUCAAGAUAAUUCUUUUCAUUAGUAUAGAACUUUGUUUAUGAUCUUGCGCUCUUGAAAAUCAUGUUAGUAUGGCUUCCUUUAUUUUUGGUAUGCGUUCUGUUAAAUUAGGUAAAUUAUGUAUACUUGUAUGUUAAAUUUAUGUACUAAAAUUUUAGGAAUGGAAGAAUCUUCUGCAAGACUAGACAAUAAUCAACAUGAUGAUGCAGUUGAAAUGAAUUUUAAUGGGAUUGAAAAGGAAAAUAAUGGGGAUGAAACUGAAAAUAAUGACAUUGUAAUGAGUGUUGAAGAAAAAGUACAAGACCCUCGAGUUAGAAUGAUUUUUGACAGUGUUGAUGAGGUGAUCACAUAUUACAAACAAUAUGGGAGGCAAUCAUAGUUUCCAGUGAUAAGGAGAUCAUCAAGAACUGGAGAUGAUGGAAAUUUCAAAUAUGUUACUAUUCUUGUGCCCAAUAAGACAAAUCAAAAAGUAAGUCAAGUAAUCUUCUUAAAUCUCAUCCAAGUAUAAAGAAUGAUUGCAAGGCUCAGCUUAGGGCAGGUUUAUUGAACGUCUUUUUUGCAGUUUCUUUAUAUUUUAAAUAAAUUCAGAGACUCUUUGGAUUCUGCGUGUAGUUUUCACCAAAAUUUCAUACACGCGAUUAGAAAUGGUAUUUCCUUACUUGACUUAUAACCGGCCCAUUCCCAUCCCUAAAGAUCACCAAUUUCAUUUUCAAUUAUUUUUGUUUGUAAAACUUAAGAUACUAUAUCUCUAGUAAUUCCAACACAAGACAAGCCAAUUCAAAUGAUAAUUUCAUGGAGUGAAUCUCUUUAAAAUAAGUGGUGAAGUAUUACUUUUUAGGAAUAGUAAAUCAAAUAAAUAAGCAUAAGUUAUUGGUUCCAAGCAUAAGUUAUUGAUACUAUUCUCUAAAAAGAAGAAUAUCAAUCAUAUAUGUUUAUCUAUAUUAUAACACAAAAAUAAAUCAUACCACUUAACCGUAACAUUUUAUAAUUUCUUGAAAAGUCCAAACCUUUUAAAUGAGGUUUCGUGUGAUUUUGUCAGGCUGAGAGGUCCCAUCUAAUGGUAGAAUUUUCCCAUAAAGGAGAGGUCCGACUCCCAAUGGAGACCCAUCGACCAAAAACAGUAGAGUAAUCCCCGCAAAGAAGAAACAAUUAAUAUUCAAGUGAGUAUGCCACCUAAAUAAUAAUGAGGACAUCGUGGAACAGUUUCGAACCACGAUCUACUUUGUUUUCUUCUUAUAAUUGUGAAAUUGAUACCGUUGAUGCAUUGAGGACAGAGACAAUUCGACACUGACAAGGGUCUUUAUUUGAAAAUGCUCAGGGGGUGAGAAUGAAUACGAUAUCUACCUAUCACAUCACGUGAUAAAAAUCUAAUAAGUAUAAAAUUAUUCUUUUCAAUUAGAGGGUGAACUCUAUUAUAUUAAUUGACUCUACUUUGAUUAGAAAAAUAAUACAUAAUCUUAGAAGGGACGUUUAGACUUUGCUUUUUAAUUUUGUAUUUUUAUAGAGUUGACAUUGAGAGAGCAGAAUUAUGGUUUGAAAUGCUCUUAACUACUACUAUUUAACCACGUAAACUAUAAGCUAUAAACCAAUAAUUUUUCUAUGUUUGAGGCACAUAGUAUUUAUGUCUUAUGUUAUGUCACAUGUAUUGAAAAAUAUGUCUACAUGGGAUGGGACCCUGGUGUACCCGCACAUACACAAAUUUGUCCUUGCUCAGUCGCUACAUAUAUGGAUGUUAUUACAACGUCGGUAUACAGAGACGUGCUUUGCCUUCUUCACUGCAAAGAAGGUUAGAUAAAUAGUUUGGUUUGGAGGUGAGGUGAGGCCCAGCAAAAAGAUGGCGGUGGUCAACGUGAGCGUGAGGGAGUCAACGUUGGUGAAGCCGGCGGAGGAGACGCCGAGGCAGGUGCUGUGGAUGACCAACUUGGACCUUGUGAUUUUGGGCAACCACACGCCAAGCGUCUACUUCUACAGGCAGAACCAAAACAGUGUGCACGGUCAUCAUAACAACUUCUUCGACCCGCAGGUGCUCAAGCAGGCGCUAAGCAAGGCCCUCGUGCCCUUCUACCCGUUGGCGGGGCGCCUCGGGAUGGAAGGCAACGGCCGCGGCGAGAUCGACUGCAAUUCGGAGGGCGCGCUGUUUGUCGUGGCUGAGACGGGCUCAACCAUCGACGAUUUCGGCGACUUCGCGCCGACUCUCGAGUUCCGGAAGCUCAUCCCAGCCGUUGAUUAUUCGACAGGGAUAUCAACUUAUCCCCUCUUGGUGUUGCAGGUAUGUUUAAAAUCGCUAGUGUCGUUUCAUUACUUGAUCUUGACCGUAGAUUAAACGCUUCGGUCAACAUUUCACCCAGCUGACUUGGUUGAAUGAUAGUUGAUGAUGAAAUUUUAUUUAUUUGGUAAUUGAAAGGAUAACAAAAAACACAAAAAAAGAGGAAAGCAGAAGCAUCUGGUGGCACUGCCACACUUUAUCAUGAAAUGAUAUUUGUAUUUAUUGAUUAAUAUUUGAAUUAAUAAAAAAUAUUAACUAUGCCGACAGAGAGACUAUAUUACCUAAAGAGUGAUGCUAUUUCUCUAUUUUCUCACUCAUCUUAUUUUCCUAUUCAAUAUAUAAAUUUUAAUAAAUACAAUUAUAUUUUUUCACCCUCUAUUAUUCCUAGAAUACCUUUUACAAAAUUAAAUGAAAAAAAAGUUAAUCAAGCUCUCUUCUCCAAGUCACCCCCAACCUCUUGCUCUCCUCUGCCAUCACCACCAUCCCUCCAACCCAUCUGUAAAACCCAUAAAUUUGUUUUCUCCUAAUUGAAUUUUGCUUUAACAUUAUCUGCCCAAAUUAAUUCCCUAUUUAUUUACAUAAAUUUCAAAUGAAGCCUGCAUAAUAAUAACUCACCCAACAUCCCCUACACUGCGAUAUUCCAAUUUUUAUUUCUGUAGUUUCAAAAGAGCUCUUCCUGUUUUUAUGAUACUGCAACAGCAUAAAAAUUCCAGUACCACAUGUUUUGGCAAACUCGUGCAAAAUAACAAGCAGCUGGAAAAAAAAAAUACAAAUGUUUCAGAGAGUGAACCUUAUUUUACUUGCCUAGAUAAAACUGACCAAGAUUGAAUUAAAGAUGAACAUCAAAUGGUGUUGAUUAAGCAAACAGAGGAUGAAGAGUCCAAAAAAAUGAUAAAAGAAGCGUCACAAAUAGAAGAAUUUAUUUCAAUCCUUAGAAGUUAUUUUACAUAAGGAUAAAUUUGUCUUUAAAAUUUUGAGAAUAAGAUAGGGGGAAAAAUAGGACAUAAGGUGAAAAUAGCAGCAUUCUUCUUAAAAUAUGUAUUUCGGAAGAAUUAGAGCAUGUGCGACACUUUAAUAUCCAGGUAAUUAUGAUUAGAUGGAGUUUAACUGAAUAAAAACGAGUCUAUUGUGAUUAGAUGGGAUCUUCUUUUCCUCAAUAUCAACUGGCUGAUUUAUAUGCUGCUGUCAAGUCCAUUUACUUCAACUAUCUACUUUAGUACUUUUGGAAACUACUUUUCCUCACAGGCGAAAAGUUUUGUUGUUUACGUAUACAAGUUAAGCUGCCAAUCUUGAUUCCAAGCAUAAAUGUUUGUCCUGUUGUUUCACGUUGUAUCAGUUAAUAGAAUUUGGAGAACCACCGGCCAAAAACAGUAGAAUAAUCCCCGCAAAGAAAGGAACAAUUAAUAUAUACUAUAAAUGAUAAUGAAGACACGUGGAGCAGUUUGGGUGGAGACAUUGUUGGGCAGUUUCAAACCACAUACUAUUUUGUUUUCUUCUUAUAAUUAUGAAAACGAUACCCGUUGAUGCAUUGAGGGACAGAGACAAUUCGACAGUUGACGAGUGUUCUUUACUUUGUAGUUUGUAUGGAUUCUUCAAUACUUCGAGUCCAACCUGCAUUCGUCUGUCUACUUGUUGCCACUUAGAUGAGCUUAAUAGGGAGUUUUAAUUACAAUUAUGGUAGUUAAUAAAAUGUUUGAAAUAAAUUAUAAAUAAAAUAUGAAAUUUAGUGACAAUGAUGUAAAAACGUAGGAAUAUUAUGACUUCUUAUAUCAUACUGGUCAUUUAAAUUUGAAAUUGAAUUUUAUAUAUAGAUUUAUAGAAUGAUGAGUAUAUGUUUAGGAAAUAGAAAAUGUAGGGACUUAUAUUGGACAAGCCCUAAUUCUUUAAGCCAAGUUAUUGUCUUCCUGUUAUAUCUGAGUGGAUGCGUUUUCUUUUUGGUGGAUUAGAGAAUAGUUUUACCCCACUAUACAAUUCCAAGUGCUCACCCCUUCUUUUAUUUCUCUUGCUCAUAAUAUCAUCCUGGAUAUGACUUAAACUUACAAAGUAUGGUUCGGGUUUUACUCUGUUUAUGCAUCAGGUCACAUACUUCAAAUGUGGUGGAGUGUCACUUGGUGUUGGCCUGGAACAUCGUGUAGCAGAUGGCCUUUCUGGUCUCCACUUUGUAAAUACAUGGUCUGAUAUUGCUCGAGGUCUUGACCUGACAAUUCCACCAUUCAUUGACAGGACAUUACUUCGUGCCCGAUACCCACCACAGCCUGCAUUCGAUCACAUUGAAUACCAACCCGAUCCACCCAUUAAAACUGGUACAAAAGCUGUAGGUGAUGAGAGCGCAACGGUAUCCAUUUUUAGAUUGACAAGGGAGCAGCUCAACAUCUUGAAAGCCAAGUCUAAGGAAGAUGGGAACACAAUCAACUAUACCACAUAUGAGAUGUUGGCAGGCCAUGUUUGGAGAUGUGCAUCUGUGGCACGUGAACUUCCUGAUGAUCAAGAGACCAAACUACAUAUUGCAGUUGAUGGAAGGUCCAGACUGCAACCCCCACUCCCACCUGGUUUCUUUGGCAAUGUGGUUUUUGCAGGCGCACCAAUUGCUGCAGCAGGGGAUCUCAAAUCAAAACCAACAUGGUAUGCUGCAAGCUGUAUUCAUGAUACUGUUGUGCGUAUGGACAACGAUUAUCUUAGAUCAGCACUGGACUAUCUUGAACUUCAGCCUGACCUGUCACCCCUUGUUCGCGGAGCUCAUACUUUUAGGUGCCCGAGACUUGGAAUAACUAGUUGGUCUAGGCUGCCGAUCUAUGAUGCUGAUUUCGGUUGGGGUCGACCUAUUUUCAUGGGGCCUGGUGGAAUGGGAUAUGAGGGGUUGGCUUUUGUGUUACCAAGUGCAACAAAUGAUGGAAGUUUAUCGGUGGCCAUUUCUCUGCAAUCUCAACAUAUGCAAUCAUUCUCCAAGUUGUUGUAUGAGAUAUAAGGAAAUGAAAUGCGUCGAAUGGGGGCAAUACGUUGAACAGACUUCGGGCUUCUGUGUGUGUCCUCUGAGUUCUGGGACUUUGCAUUGACUCUAGCCUAGCUGAUCGGAAAGCAGCUGUUUUUGAAAAGUUCAAGUGGUCUUUUGGUUAAUCUAUAUUAGAGGAUCUGUUUUAGAAACAACCUAGUACUGAAUAAGAUUGUCAGAGUAUCUGUAAGCUUUGUUUAUUGCUGUGGAGGACUUCUUUUUCGGAGUAUCUGUAGUUUACUGUGAUUGUUAAUAAGGUUUUCUUUCUCCAUGAAACAAAAACAUACUGAAUCACUUUGGUUGCAUAAAGGUUGGUGCCUUUGGUAAAGCUACACUUUGGUUAUACUUUCAAAAAUUUUGGUUUAAUGCAAGAGCAUUUGUAGUGUUUUUAUUUCUCACUGAAAAUGGAUCAAGAGGUUCUUCUUCUGGAGACUUCAGUGUCAAGUCUGCCCAUUUGCUGAAUUUUCCCAAAUGAGAAUUCCCAGCUGUUCCUUCAUAUGGAAAUCCAAAUUGCCUCCUAAAGACAAAUGCUUUCUUCUUCAAAUAAGUAACCAAGGAACAAAGACUUAAAGAGGCGUAUGGUUUCUGAGUAGUCUAGAAGGAGAUCUUGUUACCCCCAACGACUUCAAUACUCUCAGUUUGAAUGCUGCUAUGACUGGGUUGAAGCCUCUUAGGCAUGACCCUCCUUCUCAGUUGGGUAUAUCCCCUGGAAUUUAGGCAGCUUUUCUGUGGCUUGCUGGAGGUUAUGGAGGAGGAGAUGCUGUAGGGCCUUUGGAAGGGAAUUUCAGUCGAGGGCGUUUUUGUUCACCCAUGCUGUAGGGCCUUUUAUGUUCAACACCCACUUCAUUUUGAACAAAAAUGAAAAUAAAAGAUUCCAUGUUUAUGUGCUAAGUUGGUUAGUUUAAGUAAAGAUGGCCACUAUGUGAAAAAUGAAAAGAAGGUUCUAAAUCUUUUCAAAAUAAAGCUCAAAAAGCGUCCGUUAGACAUAUAAAAGAACUUUUUUACUGCUAUAAUUCUUGGGCAAAAAUGUUUUAUAGGAAUCCCAUUUUUUAAGGGGCCUUGUGCUGUCGGCCGUCCAGCACACGGCAUGCCAUGUAUUAUAUCCAAACUCAUCAUUUUCGUUACUCUUUCUUAAAAUUCGAUCAAUGUCAUUCCUAUCCUCUUAUGCCAUACAUGAAUAUCUGUAUAUCUUUGAUGUUUAAUGGUUAGAUUACCGUCAUUUAACGUAAAUUUUGUCAAUUACAUUAAAGCCAACUCGUCUAAACUACUAUCAAAUUACUGAUAUUUACAAUUGUUUGAUUUUAAAAAUUACCGUCGUCCAUAUUUUUGACAACAACUAUUGAGCCUCAUCUAUACACAAGGGCUAUAGCCUAGUGCGACUUUGGGCCUAAAUCCUUUUGUUUUAGAAUCUCUAAGCCACGCCCUCCCCUUUAGUCACAUGUAAAAAAAGAAAAUAUUAGCGGACAAUAUUCUGACAAAGAAACAAUGGAAACUCUAGUUCUAAACUUCACCAAUUCCAUCAAUCCCAUGACCUUUGGUAAUUUUCUUCUGUCCCAACUCUCUGUAUUAUAUCAGAUUAAAUAUGGUGGUUCUCCUCAUCUUCAAAUUAAAGGUUGUGAUUAUAAUCUCUCUAAUUAAAAAUAAUUUUUAUUAGAAAUCAUCCACUUUUUAACUGUCUUAAUUUUAGUCCUCAAACUUUCAAAUUAAUAAAUAUGACCCUCAAAAUUUUGGGUCACACAUAAGUUUGGUCUAUAUCAUCGUUUGGAGAUGUGUAGGCAACGCAUGUGACCUCCCCACUACAAAAAAAAGUGGCAACAGUUAUCAUUAUUUGGUGAUAUUUGCUGGGGUGACUAAAACUUUAGCCACCCCAGCAAAUGUCACCAAAUAAUGCGAUUUUCAAGACUGCAACCCCCACUUCCUCCUAGUUACUUUGGCAAUACGAUUUUCACAACAAUGCCAAUUGCAAUCGCAGGGGAUUUCCAAUCAAAUUGAACAUGGAACGGAGCAAGCCACGUUCAUGAUGUUUUGGUUCAUAUGGAUGAUCAAGGUUUUAAAACGCAAGGUGUUGAGGCAAGAUGCUUUUGAUCCCGAAAGGUGAAGCGUAAUUCUUUUGAAUAUUAAUUAUUUUAAUUAAAAAUAUAAAAUAAUAUAAAAUAAUUAUAAAUGAGUACUAAUUGUCUCCUAAGCAUAAUAAUCAAGUAUUCUAGGAUGACAAUUUAGGGUACUGUAGAUAUGAUUUCGGGUUCAGUAAUUCUACUGGGUGGGAGUGGCAUAAACAGUUGCAGGGUAUUUACCCCAAAUCUCAGAGUCUUAAAAAUAGGCUAAGGAUUGUGAUAAAUUGCGAGCAUGCCACUAUUAGCAGUGUAAAACCCUAACAGAUCUUAAUGAAUAAAAAUAACUUAUGCACCAAGAAACCUGACUUCCAAUAAAACAAUUGUGCUUGGAAUGGGGAACUAGUUCAAUACGGAUUCUUUUCUAUGCUUCAAGAUAAACGAGGACUUUAUUAUGUCUCUAAUACAAAGCUAAGAGAUAAAAAACAUAAACAAGUAAACAAUGUGUCAAAUCGAUCAUAUCUGGUGAGAACGAAGACUGCCACCACUUUUGAGUUGCCUCAUAGCCACUAGAAUGAUGGUAUUUUUGCUCACCACUUUAACCCAAGUUGUACCAUCACCACCCUUCUCAACACUUGAUACGUGUUUAUGGGCAUAAUCAUAGUUCCACAAAUACAACAAAGAGUUAACUAUGGUUAUGCACAUGGACACAUGUCAAGUGUAAGGAAGUAUGGUGAUGGUACAUUUUGGUUUUGUCACAUCCCGGGAUCGGCUCCGCCGUAGCACGAUAUUGUCCGCUUUGGGCCCCUCUUUGCCCUUACGGUUUUGUUUCUGGGAGCUCACGAGCAACUUCCCAGUGGGUCACCCAUCCUGGGAUUGCUCUAGCCCCCAACUCGCUUAACUUCGGAGUUCCUACAACUCCGAAUCCAGUAAGCUCCCAAAAGGCCUCGUGCUAGAUGGAUGCGGGUGUGCACAUAUAAGGCACAUCAUCCCCUCUCCGUUGGUUGAUGUGGGAUCUUACAAUCCACCCCCCUUAAGGGCCCGAUGUCCUCGUCGGCAUACUCGUACCACACGGCAGAGUGGCUCUGAUACCAAAUUGUCAUAUUUCAGGAUCGACUCCAUCGUAGCACGAUAUUGUCCGCUUUGGGCCCCCCUCUCUGCCCUCACGGUUUUGUUUCUAGGAGCUCACGAGCAACUUCCCAGUGGGUUACCCAUCCUGGGAUUGCUCUGGCCCCCAACUCGCUUAACUUCGGAGUUCCUACGACUCCGAAGCCAGUGAGCUCCCAAAAGGCCUCGUGCUAGAUGGAUGCGGGUGUGCACAUAUAAGACACAUUACCCCCUCUCUGUUGGUUGAUGUGGGAUCUUACAAUCCAUCCCUUAAGGGUCCGACGUCCUCGUCGGCACACUCGCACCACACGGCAGAGUGACUCUGAUACCAAAUUGUCAUACCUCGGGAUCGGCUCCGCCGUAGCACGAUAUUGUCUGCUUUGGGCCCCCCUCUCUGCCUGCACGGUUUUGUUUCUAGGAGCUCACGAGCAACUUCCCAGUGGGUUACUCAUCCUGGGAUUGCUCUGGCCCCCAACUCGCUUAAUUCGGAGUUCCUACGACUCCGAAGCCAGUGAGCUCCCAAAAGACCUCGUGCUAGAUGGAUGCGGGUGUGCACAUAUAAGACACAUUACCCCCUUUCCGUUGGUUGAUGUGGGAUCUUACAGGUUUAAAGUGGUGAAAAAAAUAUUUCCCCAUUAGAAUAGCCUCAAAAUGUCAAGAAGAUUUGGUAACAAUCGAGUAGAAGCGCCACUAAUGGGCAAUUCAAGAUUAUUUCCCCUUUUUUAGACUUAUCUUUGACCUUGUGUGAUUAUCAAUUAAAAGCAUCCGCAAUGGUUGUUCCAAUUCAAUGCAAUAGUUCAAUAAAUUGAUCUUUUUUGGCAUUUAUUGAAUUGAACUGCAGUUUUACUUGUAAUGGUAUAGUUCAAUAGCUUCAAAUCAAUAGUUAUAUCAAUAGUUAUAGUUCAAUAGUCUCAAAGAAAUCUUUAAAAAGAGACUAAUUUUGGAAAAUCAAUUAUGUAAUUUUUUAUUUAUUGCAUUGAACUAUUGAACAACCAUUACAGAUACUCUUAACAACAUAAUGCAUUAAUUAUUGUUUUUUUUCUAUUUUUUUAUUGGCAUGUGGGUCCCCUAGUUAGCCUAUUGCAAUUGCAAUAGAGGGUUCAUCACAUAGAACCUUCUAUUACAAUGAACUAAAUCACACAAUUGCAAGUGAAAUUUUAGUAUUUUAGUUCAAUUUCAUGCAAUAAAAUUAUAUUGAUUCUAACCAUUGCAGAUGCUCUAAUGUACAAUUCCCCUUUUAGCGCCACUAACUUGGCCAAAUUCUCAUUACUUUAUAUCAAAACAGUGAGCCCAAGCCAUCAAUUGGCCCAAUUCUUUUAUUUAUUCCCAUGGAUUGAAAAUAGGACCAAAACACAGGGAUGUAACUGAAGCAAUUAAUAUUCUUGUACAAAAACUCAAAAUCAUAUGAGCAUGCUCUCAUCUUCGCAUGUUAUCCGAGUUUCUCCUCUUCUACUGCUGCACGUAAGAUACAGUGCAUACUUUAAAUUUCUUUUCAAAGGUCUCAUGGCAUAGUAUUAAUUUUCACAAAUACACAAAUCUGUUUUGGUUGUUCAAAUUACACACUGAGGAUAAUCUCAUUAAAUUUCUUUUCAAAUUGUGGCACUGCUUUUUGCCAAAUUAGAAAACUGCAUAACAGUAUUUCCUAUAUCGGCUGAGAUUGUUCCUACAACUUAACGAUGUUUUGCCGCAUGGGAACUGGGGAGGAAAACAAUGAAGAAAUGUGUGACAUUGCUAUGUAUGUAAUUAUUGUGUACAUUUAUUAAGUAAAAAAAUUCAAACAAUUGGUUCCAUUGGUUAGAGCAGUUCUAGCCAUGCCCCCAAGCCAGGCAGGAGGGGGGGUUCCAAGCCUAAAACGCGUUUCUAGCAGGCCUUUUUUGCCGGGGCAGCUUGUGGGUCCCACGGAACUAGGUUGGCCUGAAGGCAGAACAAGCUCGAGGGCGAGCUGACGCCAGCAUGUGGGUUUAAAUUUUUUUAUCGUUGGUGCGUGCAUUUAAUGCUCCAACGGUAAAAAAAAAAUUAAAUUCCGUGCAUUGUCGCCAGGUUAGCGUCAGUCCUUCCUUUCACCAACUGCUAGAAGCCACGUGGCGGACUCUGGGCGCUCCGAUUGGUUUUCUCCUUCAAUCCAAUGGUUGACUUUUUUUUUGCAAUAAAAUUAUGAAAAAAAUUCAAAAAAAUACCCAAAAAUUCAUGAAUUUUUUUUCUAUAAAUACCUACGAAUACUCUUCACUUUCAACACCAAAUCCUCAUACAUUUUCUUCUCCUUCUACUAUUAUUCACUUUCUACUCAACAUUUUAUUCACUUUCAAAAUUUAUUUUUAUUUAUCAUCUUAUGGCUUCUUCUAUCGAAACUGGAGGGGCGUGGAGCACCAUGGAAGAUGUUUUGUUGUGUGAGUGUUGGGUCCAAAUUAGUCAUUAUCUCGUCACGGGCAAUGAGAUUAAAUUCUCUCAUAUGUGGAGAAAAAUUCAUGCCGAAUUUUGUGAAAGAUCGGGUUCGACUCGUACGAAAAUGGCAUUGUUGAGUAGGUGGAAAAUUCUCAAUAAAGAGUUGGGAAAAUGGAGAGAUGCCUUGGCAAAAGCGAGGAACAACCAUAGAAGCGGGGGAAAAUCUUAGCAAUGAGGUAAAUUAUUUGUAAUUUUCGUUUUAUUAAUUUUAAUGUCCUAAUUUUUUUUUAAUGUUUCUUGCAUUUUCAAUUUUUUUUUAAAUAUUUCUUGCAUUUCUAUUUUUUUUAAUAAUGUUUCUUGCAUUUCCAAUAUUUUGUUAAUGUUUCUUGAAUUUCCACUAAUUUUUAAAUGUGUCUUGCAUUUUCAAUAUUUUGUUAAUGUUUCUUGCAUUUCCAAUAUUCUUUAAAUGUUCCUUGCAUUUCCAAUAUUUCAUUCCAAUGUUCUUUGCAUUUCCAAUAUUUUUUUAAUAGAUUAUGCAAGCACAAAUGUAGUUUGGUGCUAUUGGGCAAGGCCAAAAAACUUUCAACCAUGACCAAUGUUGGGAGGUGGUGAAGAAUUGUUUGGUGCUUUGAAAUAUUGCACGAAGAGAAUAAAAAGCAACCAAGUAAAAGGGGGUCGAGACUUUUACCGAAAUUUUAACAGAGUCUCCCCUAAAAAAAUGGUCUUUUCACAAAUUUUCCACCUAUGAAAAACAACAGAAAAAAAGUUCUCAACUGCCAGAACACACAAUGCUAAAGGCGCACAAAUUACAGAAUAGGCCUUCGGCCUUAAAUUCAACCCUACAUGGGCCAUAACAUAGCAAAUAUAAGAAAUCUUUAGUUUUACAACCAAAGCAUAAGUAUCAAAGGAAAUUAAACAAGUAAAAUUGCCUUACAACUGUUCAAGGCAUGAGAGUACGAAGUCUUGGCUUGGUUGCAAAACAAAAAUUGUGAGCGGACAAAAACAAAGUUUUAAUAUACUUUUAAACAAACAUACUAACCCCACCGUUUUGGAAAACGAUGCCCAAACAUGCCAAAAAACCAUUUAUAUAGCAUAAUCGACUCUAAAAACCAAGGUAUCCCAUAAUCCCGAUAUAGCAUAUAACACAAACUCAAACUAGACCUUUUUCCCUUCUCAGACCACUCUCUUCCGAGACACAUGCCUGUAAGCACAACAAUUGAGGAAGGUUCCUCACAAAUAAAUAAGAAUAAUAUAUAUAUAUAUAUACAUAUAUAGGUAUAACCACUACACCAAUACUAGUACGGGGGAAACAAUCCAACCUGGGGAUUGUUUGACUUAGGGCUAGGCAUUCAAACCGGCAACCCGGUCAAACCGCCCAAACCAAAUAGAUGGUUUAGGUUGGUUUGGUUUUUUUUCAAUCUUUUUUUGGUCAUCGGUUUGAACCCAAACCAAACUGAAAUAUAUGAUUCGGUGUACGGUUUGCAAUAUUCAAAACCACGAUUUAACCAAACCAAAUUGAAGAUAUUAAAAAAAAUAUUAUCAUAAGAUAUAUAUAAUACAUAGUUUCAAUCUUUCUUUUUCUUCUCUCUCAAUCUCUUCGUUUUCCUUGUCUUCAUCAGUCCACAUCUCUCUAUUUUUUUUUUCUCUUUCUUCUUACGUCUGUCUUCACUCCCUCUCCUCGUCUCCCUCUUCUUCUUCUUCUUCUUCUCUUUCUUUUCUUUUUCUCCUCUUCUUCUUCUUCUCCAUCUCUCCACCUUUUUUUUUCUUCUCUUCUCUUCUCUUCUCUCUCUCUCUCUCUCUCUCUCUCUCUCUCUCUCUCUCUCUAAGAAAGCCAAAAAAUCGAAACCGAACCAAAUCAAACCACCAAGUCUAGUUAACCGAAGUGGUCGGUUUUCAUCAAUUAUGGUUUGGUUUCGAUUUUAGCCAAACUGAGGCCUACGGUUCGGUGUUCGGGUUGAGCCCAAAAUCGAACCAACCCAAACCAAGCCCACCCAUAGUUUGACUAAACCACAUGCAGAAAUCCUCAAUACACUUGUGGCUAGGGAAGAGCAAUCCAAUAGGAACUAUUGCUCCCCACACAAGCACAACAGAAUCUUCAAUACUCGUGUGGCUGAAAUAAGUCUAACGCACGUUGACUGCCCGACAAGGGCCUAGGGUAACACCCAGUCAAGGGUGUCCGGGUUUCAACAUAUCCAAGUAUCCAUCAUUUCCAAGUAUCCAAGUGCCCGGAAGGUACAUAGGGUGGUGCUAACAGCACUUCAAUAUAACAUAUUGCACAUCCCAACAAAUAUACCAUAACCAUAUGCCAAAUUCCAAAUAUUCCAAAUUACCCAAUCCCAUAUACAUAGACAACCGAACAUUAAUAGAGUCCAUAACUCAAUACCCAAAUAUUUAAUCGUAGUAUAGAUAUCAAACUCUCAAAAGCAUAUAUACCAUAACCAAAAUAUUCACAAACUUCAAAUAUCAGUAUAACAUCCGAUAACCAUAAGAUAUUCUAACCCAUAAUUAAAACAACAAUAUAACUUCUUAAUCUCAAUAGUCAAAAUAAUCAAAUUUUAUAUAUAUGCAAUCCACUCUUUGAAAAUAAUGAUCAUUUGAAACAAAGUCCACUCACGAAAAGUACAAAGCUGCUUGACUUGCGGGGGUCCUUCGUGUUGAGUUCGUGGAGCUUGAGUACCUAUUUUACUGAACACGAGGACUUAAUCAAAACGACUAAACCAACCACGAACUUAAAUUCAACUCCCAAGCUCUAGCGAUUCAAAGUGUGUGUGCACGACUAUUGGGGAGUUUCUAAGGCUAAUAUAAUGCUUUUGAAAGGUGGAACGACCUUGGAAGACUCACGGUCAACCAAGUGGCCAAACUUCUCAAAUUGGUCAAUCGGGUCCGUGGGGUCACGACCUCUGAUUUUCGAUCCGAAAAUUCCAACUAGAUCCUAAAGGUAUAGAGAACAACAUAUUUGAAAUUAGGACCGAUUAUCGAACCCGAAUAUUGCAUAAUAUGCGUAAUAUUCGUCUGAUAGUCAAACGAUAACCAAUUCUAAAUCCAAGCAUACCGUCGUGCUAAGGACGAGUUGAGGAGUGUUUUAGAACAUAAUUUGCCGCCACAAAAUGGUCCACGCGCCGGCACCCACUGCCGAUAAUGCGUGGUGUCUUGAGAAAUUUUCAGCAAAAACACCCUACAAUACUUUUGCCAACAGAUUCAGAUUAACUAGGGGGUCAACUUUUGUUCUUGGACCACGGCCAAAAACUAGCCGGAACUAGCUGAAUCGAGCCGAAACCAUCAGCUAAAAUGGGAAUAUUGAACGAUAUGUAAAACCUCCAAAUGAAUCCCAAGAUACCUAUACUAACAGCUAGAGCAUGUUAAGGGGAUGAAGAAUCAUACAUUGGUCGACAUAAACAACCGCUAGAAUUGCAAGAAAUUGCACGAACAUCAUUGGCGAUUAAAUGAGGGUUUUGCAAGGUUUGAGUCCAAAAUCACGACCAAAUUUGGAGUUUUGAAGGUGGAAAUAGGUAUGCAAGUGUAGAGGAGGAAGAGACAAACGUUUUGUGGGUCGUGGUGUCUCCGGCUGUGGCCGGAUGGAGGAGAAAACACCAGCCAAACAGGCCGGUUUGUUUCGGGAAGAAGGAGAGGGUCGCUUAAGCAAGGAGAGAGAAAGUGAGAGAGAUCUGAUCGUUCGUUUUAAAACCCAACUUUGAAAAAAUUAUGGUUGUGCAACUACACUUCCGUAGACCACAACUUCUUUAUUUAAACUCGGAUUUGGACCUACUACGUGUCUACGAACUCGUGAGAGCGAGCUCUACGCAAUGGUGCCACUCAUUUUCUCAAAAUCCUUCUAGAUCGAAAAGGGACUAAAGUGACCCUACCCCCAAGGGCAAAAUUAUAAAUUCGGAAAUAAAAAUGAAUUGAAUAAAAUGAUUAAAUUAGAUCGAGAUGUUACAAUAUUGUUGUUGUUGUUUUUCUUUAAUUAAUGUAGCCCCCUGGUUCCUCCCUUUUUUUUUUUUUUUUUUUUUUUAGUGUAAGUUGUUUUUUUAUAUAAUUGUAACGACACUAAGAAAGAUACCAACUCACCACACAACUUAAAAAACAGAAGCUAAUUUAUAAGAAAAUAACUAAACAGAAAAGAAAACAAAGACGUCACAUAUUGUAAUUUUUAAAUAUAUAUUUUCUUACAAGCAAAAAAAUUCUAAAAAAAGAAACUUAAAUUUUUAUUUAAGUUAAACUUUAUAUAUAUAUAUAUAUUAUUGUUAAUUUUAAUUUUAAAGAAACAAAAACUUAAAAUUACUAAAAUAAUAAUAACAAAACAAGUAAAGAGAAAACAAAAUAAGAAUUAUUGUAUCACUCGUGUAUCACCAUGGUAUCACCACGUUAUCACUAUGGUGUCACCUGUUUAUCACGUUUUAGGUCAGAGAUGAAUUUAUGAACUUCCACUAUUUUUCAGUUUCAACCUUUGUCCCAUUUUGGACCUAUAACUUUCUAACCAUUAAUCCAGAUUUUAUGUUCUUUAUAUGGUUGGAUUCAGAAUGACAAAAUGGAGAACUCAGCGAGGACCGAAUGGUAAAAUUAGUUACAGAAGUGUACAUAAUUCAUUAAAACGAACAGUUAAAGUUUUGACACAAGAAAAACAAAGCAAAAAAACAUUCCCACCAAGAACUUAAAUGAAACAUUGUCCUUAAUGUUGAAAAGAGUAAAAUCAUAUCAUGCAAUGUAUCAUAAGGCCAAGGGACGAAACAAAGCAAAAUAAAAUUAAAACAAAAACUUAAAUUACUUAAAACUAAACAAGCAAAGAGGAAUGAUUGAAAAUUAAUACUCCCCUUUGAAGCAAUUAGACCAAGCAUGGAUGCAUUUGGAGGUCGCUUGGAGGUCGCGACUUCUCCCAAUACCCCACACUUCCCAUCCUUAUGAUUGGAGUUGCCUUCUCUCUUUCCCCUUUUUUAUUGGGCUAUCCUAGAUUGCUAAAACGAACACAGAAAACUUAAAACAGAAUUAAAAGAAUUAGGAAGGAAAAAUUAAUAUGAAAAGUAAAGCAAGUAGGGAAACAAAAUAAAACCAAACUAUGCUACCAAUCCCCGACAAAGGAGCCAAAAACUUCUUGUGUCGAUUCAGCUGCACCAAAGUUGAUUUAGCUACAUCCUCAACUUGUGAUAUUCGCAAGUGCAUGAACCGUUGGAUAGUAUAGUAUAUGUAAGUGCAAGGUCAAUCCCACAAGGAUUGAUGAUAGAUUGAUUCAAUUCGAUUCCCUGCAUAAAACAAAAAUGGAAACAAGGUUUAAAGAUUAUUGAGAAGAGUACAAGAAUUGAAAACUUAAAGUUUAAUCAAACAAAGAAGAAAGGCUCUAAAACUGGUUUUGGGUUUAAAAACAAUUCUAGGACACUAGGGAACAAUCCAAUUCUAAGUCUCAAGCAAUUAAGUGAAUAAGUUCAGUUCAGAUUCACAGAUUGAUUCUAGCUAAAGUAUGAGUAAGCCAUGGUAUCUAGUUCUAACCUUGAAUUCCUAAUUACCUAAUUAAGUCCUUGUUGUCGAACCUAAAUUAAGCAUUAGAAAUCCGUUAAGUAUAGAAGAAUGUUAUAAACAACCAAACAUAUGAAUGAUUUGUUUUGUUUUUCUUGUGUCAAUCUUGACAGGAUCAUAAUUACUUCAACUAAGAUAGCUAACAUACAAGUUUUAAUGGUGAUCAAUAAUUCAAACAAGCAUAUUAACUUAUAAGCAUAUGAAUGAUGUAGGACGAAAUAUGGGUCAAUUAUGGUGUGAAAAAUUAAUUAAAAUAAAGUGGCUCAAAGUUGGAAGGAAAUCGUGCAAGAGAGGAAAAUUCCAAUUAAAUGUCAAUUAUGGCACUAGGAAAAGAAGGAAGGCGUAUCGUUGGGAUUUUCUAAUUGAUUGAGCAAGUUUGAAGUAAUUAUGAUCCUGUCAAGAUUUAUAUUUAAUCUAUAUUUUGAAGAAUAAGUUAUCUAUUAGGAUAUUAUUUUCCUAAUAUGAUUUUUAUUAUUUUCUUAUUAGCUAAAUUUAGGAAUAUUCUAGAAGCUAGGGUUUCCUACAGUUUUAGGGUUUCUUUGUUUUCUAUUUAAGCCAACUCAUGGCAUUUAUUUGUGAGUUGAUUCAUCUUAUUUUCAAUCAAUAUUGAUUCAUCUUAUUUUCAAUCAAUAUAUUUGAGGUUUACUCAAUUUCUCUAGUUGAUUCCAGUUUGUUGGUGGAUUCCGACAUUGUUACUUAUAGGGUUAUCAUUCGAUCUUCCUAUCCUUUAUAUCUCGAUGCGUCAAUGAAUAAGAACAAGAACUAUAAUUGAAACUUGAAAACUAAUCAAACUUGAAAACUUAAAAUAAGAAAUUACGUAACAAUGAAAAAUAAAAUACAAUUAAGAAAAACAUAAAGAAAAAUCUAGCAAAAGAGUUUUAUUACAACAAUUGAGAAUUUAAAAUGAAAACUAAGAGAAGAAAAACUAAAAUAGUAGAUGCCCCUAGAUCCUUGCCUUCGGCUCCCCAUGGUCUCUAAUUCUAACUCUAUUUGGUGCCCAAAGUCUUGCACAACUUCUGCACACCUUUCAUACCUUAUUCUCUCUGCCGUAGCUCUCUAUUUAUAGAGAAUGAAAAUCUCUUGUAGCAGCACAUUUCCAUGUGGAUGUACGGUACAUUUCCAUGCCUAAGUCCUCAAAUAGUCUAUCUUGCUGCAUAUCAAACUUUCUUCAUGUGCUGGCUGCUGCACUUUUAAUUCAUCCACCUGUUACGGCAGCCUUUGCUUGCCUUUGGCAUUUGCAAACCUCCAAGAGGUUUUGCUGCCAACGUUCUUCUUUCAUUUCUUUGCAUUAUUCUUUCUCCUUUUGGUUGCUGCCCAUUCCUCUUUCUUUUCUUUAUCUUUCUCUGCUCAUCACGUGUUGGCAUAUUGGCAUUUUGUGUCAGCCAACAUCAUUCUUUAUACUUCUUCCUAUUCUUUUUCAUUUGCUGUCUGCACACAUGGUGGGCUGCUGCCCAAAGUUGCUCCCUUCAAUCUUUCCAACUCAUAUUUGCAUAGAAAAUUCCACCUUUUCUCCUCUAUUACAAUUGGUUUUAAUACAUUAAGAGGAAUUCUUUCAACUUUAAAAAUCUGAAAACCAAACUUCAUAAUGUAAAACAAUGUUACCAAGAGGUGUGGUAACAAGCAGAAAAAGAGGUAGCACACAAAUGACUCUACAAUAGGAUUAAAGCUCCCAAUGUAUGCUAGAGAGAGAGAGAGAGAGAGAGAGAGAGAGAGAGAGAGAGAGAGAGAGAGAGAGAGCAAAAGGCCCAAGAAGGGCAAAGAUGACUCCAAGUAAUUUUGCCUAAAACAAAAUUAUGCCUAUCUGUCGAUUCCAUGCAGAAAACGGGCUUGACAAAAACUAGAUUAUCUCUUUCCAAUUAAAGUCAUGUGGAGCCUUGAAAUUUCCAACUAAUAUUAAGAUUCUGUGCCUGUCGAUCUACUGCACAUGUGCCACAGUUAAGCUGCCAUUAGCAAAGUCCUUCGGAAAGCACCAUAUAAAAAAUGGCGGUGUUAUCAGCUUUAAAGCAUGUAUCUCUUGGGGCGUCUAUAGCCUCUAAGAUUUUACAUUUAUUACUAUCUUCCUUAGUUUCCAUUUCCACGUUCACUUUUGAUCGAUCCUGGUUGUAGUCGUGUAUUUGUGUUGUAAGUUGUGAUCACAAGAAGGAGGUCCUAAUUUUCUUAUAUUCUUUUCUCAUAAGGAAAAGAACAGUGUGCUCCUAUUAAAGACCAAAGAAAAAAAGAGCAUUAGAAAAAGAAAAGAUGACGGAGAAGGUGACUGUGAGCGUAAGGGAGUCAACGAUGGUGAGGCCUGCCGAGGAGUCGACGCCUCGGGGCUCACUGUGGCUCUCCAACUCGGACCUAGCAUUCACACCCUUUCACACGUCCUCUGUUUACUUUUAUAGAACAAGCGGUGAGCUCAACUUCUUUGAUCGGAGAGUGCUCAAGCAAGCGCUCAGCAAGGUCCUCGUGCCCUUCUGCCCCAUGGCCGGUCGAUUCAAGCUAAAUGACCAGAAUGGCCGUGGGGAGAUUGAUUGCAAUGCGGAGGGAGUGCUUUUUGUUGUGGCAGAGAGCAACUCUGUCGUUGAUGAUUUUGGCGAUUUUGCGCCCACUUCCGAUUUCCUUAAGCUCAUCCCCGCCGUGGAAUACUCGGUUGGAAUAUCCUCAUAUCCCCUUUUGGUGUUACAGGUAUUUAAUAAUGAUCAUCCAAGGUCUUUUAUAUUUUGUAAAAUUUGUAUAUGUAUAUACUUAUAUUCUCGUUGCACGCGCGUUACUCAUUGCAUCAUUUUGAUCUAGUUUUGGAACCGAAUAAGAUGUUUCAUUGAAUUUUGUCAUUUUAAAUUAUCAAGUCCUAGGUCACUCUCGUUCGCCUCUGCGGUCUCGUCAUGCUCCAAGUACCAUCGAAACACCACUUUUAACUCUUCUACUCUCCAUCAGAAAACUUUUGUUCUAUUUUGAAGCAUAUAUGUUGUCUGCAAAAUCCAAACCCACUCACAUGUCAUCAGAAACCCAAAUUCUGCAAUUUUGAGCAAUUGCAACUUCAAAUCCAAUCCAGUCUUUCCGAAUCAUCCCAACCCAUCUCUAUAUUAACGUAUUUCUCUUAAUUUUAAGUCAAGUUCAGUAAUAACAAACAUUUUCUAUUUGCAUCUCUGUACCAAAAGCUGUGGUUCUUUUCUGGUCACACAACCUGUGGUGCUUGAGAGAGAGAGAGAGAGAGAGAGAGAGAGAGAGAGAGAGAGAUUACCAGUAACCAUAUAUUUAUAUAUGGUUGUGUUUUAAUUUCUACGUAUAUAUGCAAACGCAGGUUACGUACUUCAAAUGUGGUGGUGUGUCGCUGUUGGAGUGGACCACCGCAUUGCAGAUGGAGCAUCUAGUCUACACUUCGUAAAUACAUGGUCUGAUAUUGCUCGUGAUGAUCUCUCAAAUAUUAAACCACCCUUCAUGAACAGGAUGUUACUUUGUGCUCGAGAUGCACCUCAGCCAGCAUUUCCUCACGUUGAAUAUCAACCUUUUCCACAAAUGAAAUUAGCUUCUGAUCAUCUGGAAAGCACAAGUAAUACUACUGCCUCGAUUUUUAGAUUUACGCGGGAGCAGCUCAACAUCUUGAAAGCCAACUCUGCGGAAGAUGACGGCGGGAAUAUUAAUACAAUCAAGUAUAGCACAUUUGAGGUGUUGGCAGGGCAUAUUUGGAGAUGUGCUUGCAAGGCACGUAAACUGCCAGAUGAUCAAGACACCAAAGUACUCAUUCCCAUUGAUGGACGGUCUAGAUUGCAACCCCCACUCCCACCCGGUUUCUUUGGCAAUGUCAUUUUUAGAGCCACACAUAUUGCUGCAGCAGGGGAUCUCCAGUCCAAACCAACAUGGUAUGCUGCAAGCUGUGUUCAUAAUGCUUUGGUCCAGAUUGAUGAUGAUUAUCUCAGAUCAGCCGUUGACUAUCUUGAGCUUCAUCGUCCUUGUGUUUCCCCACUUGUUAUGGGGGCCCUGUUGAUCAGGUGCCCGAAUCUUUGGAUAAACAGUUGGGUUAGGCUGCCGAUUCACGACGCUGAUUUUGGUUGGGGUCGACCCAUUUUCAUGGGGCCUGGCACACUAUUUGACGGGAUGGCUUUGUUGUUACCAAGCGCAACUAAUGAUGGGAGUUUAUCCCUGAUGAUUUCUCUGCAUUCUGAACACUUGAAAUCAUUUUCCAAGUUGUUGUAUGACAUAUGAGGAAAUGUCACGGUUGAAGAAAUUUGGUGCUGUCUGGUUUGAAUUGCUGUUAUUCCCCUCAUCUUUAUGGGUGUUCAAAUUUGAAGUUGUGUAUUGGUUCGUGCACGUUGCUUGAUUGAGUAUUGAAACUUUUUUUUUUUCGAAAGUAUGGUGGACUUCUUGUCCACAAUGCUGGUUGUGUUAUAUUGUGAUUCUUAAUAGAGGAUUCUCUUUCUCAUGAAAUUAAAAGAACAUUGGAACCAAAAGAGUAGGAGUCAUAAAGAGGUUCGAAAAUUUUGUAAAGAGAUUACCAAAAUAAUUAGAAAUCUGAACACCCCUCAAAGGUUACAAAACUCUUAUUUCUAGGCCUAUAGAUACAUCCGUUAAUGAUUGUACUUGCAGAACAUACAUUCCUAAUGUAAAAAUCGCUAUUAAUGAUUGUAUGUUCAAAAUGCAAAUUUAAACCAAGUAAUGAAUGUACAAUACGAAUAGACACUGUACAAUCAAGUAUGUUAUAUGAUUCAUAAUGCACUAUUACCUCUAUGAAUUUUGGCAUCUUUAUAUUAGAACAAUAUGAACUUUGGUUCGUAUCUAAAUGUAGUGUUAAAUUACAAAAUGGGCAUGGUCGGACCUCUUUAUUUUUGGACCUGCUUAGGCGUGGAUAAAGGUUAUCUGGGCUUUAUUUUUGGCCUUACUAGUUAUUUGCUUUUUUGUUGGGAGACCUUACUUUUAUUUGGUGUUAACAGAAGCCCCCUAAGUCCUAAAUUUGGUAUCAACAGAAGCCCCAUAAGUCUAAAAUUUGGUGUCAACUGAAGCCUCCUAAGUCUUAACUUUGGUGUCAACAGAAGCCCCCUAAGUCCUAAAUUUAGUGUCAACCACACCACUCUUUUCGAUCCAAUAUGAAGUCUUAAAUUGGUCAACCACGCCAAAACCCCAAGGAGUAAAAUACUCCUUCAAGUUCUGUUAGAGAUUCCUAUAUAAAGACUGCUCAAAGUCAAUACGAACACAUUUUUUAUUUUUUUUGGUCUGAAACUCAUCUUCAAAGAUUACACAUAACUCAUUUAAAAAAAUCUUGACAUAUUAUCUUUUAUUCAAAAACAUAUUUCUAAAUAGAUUCCAAAGAUUUCAGAGAUUUCCAAUGAGAUUACUCAGAGACUUCAAAUCAUAUAGGUCACAAUAGCCACUUAUUUCCAAUAUGAUUACGAAUUCGAGUCUAACUUCCCCAAUUGACGCAUAUUGUUAGAGGGCAAUGUGGUCCACCCGUCGUCCCUUUAGGCCUACCGCAUGAGUGCAAAAUGGGCAUGAUCGGGCCUCUUUGUUUAGGGCUUUCUUAGGUGUGGAUAAAGGUUUUAUGCGCUUUACUUUUGGCCUUUUGAUUCCAAUCAAUUACUUUAAGUGAUAGGCCCGCAAUUGACCUACCAUUUCCUCUCAGCUGGUUGCGUUGCUUGCCUCUUAGGGUACCUCCCAUCUUCCUGUUCAAAUUCUGGUUAUCGAAACAAUUCCAAUUUCAAAAACUUAUAUGGCGUUAAGUUUGGUGUCAACAAUGGAGUUUUGAUUUUAUGUUGCAUGUUUAAUAAUUCUUUAUUAUAUAUAUAUAUAAACAAAUGCUCAUGAGUCCUAGUUUUAAAUUUUCUAUCAAUAUAUAUGGUCUAAUUCUUUUUACAGUAUUUCAUUAAAGACUUAGGAGGCCCAUUAUUCAUUUUGUAUAUAAGCCUUAAAAUCUCAGAGCCGCCGGUGCAUAAAGUAAAGACAUUCAAAUCGGAAUUAUAACUAUUGGCUUAAUGUCAAUUUUCCUACCCUUUUCCCAGAGGGGCAUUGUGGAGACAAAAAUAUCACCAGUCAUGCCCUCACUCAAUCCGCACACAAAACAUGAAAGUAAUCUUAUGUGGAAAACUAGCAAUUGAACUUGUGAAAAAAUAGUGAAUGGACUUGGAUCAACAAUGCCAAAAAAAAAAAAAAAAAAAAUGUAUGCUGCUAAGCAACAAUGCUAUUAUUUAGGAGUGGUUGCGGUUCGGUAACCGCGAAUUUUUCUUUGAACCGCAAACCGAUAUACUAUUUCCGGUAAGGUGAUUUUUGAAAUUGCAAACCGACCGCAUUUUGCGGUUUACCGCAAACCGCAAAAAUCGGUUGAUUACCGUGAAUUAACGGUUUAAACCUAUUUGAAUAUUUUGGGCCUAAAUUAGACAAUUUUAGAUCUUUAAGUGUGGUCCUUUUGUGUCAAAAAAAUUCAAUCUUCCACACUUUUAAGCCUAGGUUUGAUGCUUCUUUUGAAGCUUUUUGAGUUCAAGCAUACGUUAACCAAAAAAUAUAAAUCACAACCUAAAGAAAUAAAUUCAUGACCUCAACUUCUCAAGCAUAUAUAAAUUUACAACCUAAAGAAAUAAAUUCACAACCUCAACAUCUCAAGCAUAUAUAAAUUCACAACCUCAACCUCAACUUCUCGAGCAUUCACAACCUAAAGAAAAAUCCAAUUCAAAGUUAAUUAAAGUUAGAAACCAAAAAGAAAAUGCAAUGCAAAAUGAAUUAAAGUUACAACCCAAAGGAAAAAUCCAAUUCAAAGUUAAUUAAAGUUAGAAACCAAAAGGAAAAUGCAAUGCAAAAUGAAUUAAAGUUACAAUCCAAAGGGAAAAUCCAAUUCAAAGUUAAUUAAAGUUACAAACCAAAAGGAGUGUAGGUGGUGGUGAGUGGAUUUUAUUAUAAGAAGAAACCAUUCUUUAUGAGUUGGAGUGGAGGCUGUGUUUUGGGUGUAUCGGUUUGUGUUUGGGGGGAUUAGAGGCAUUAUGUGUGUUAGAGUGGCUAGACUCCAACUAUAACACAACACAACACAAAAGCAACAACAUAAAAGCAUAUUAAUAACAUAUUAAACUCAACCAAAUUAAAACACAACAUCUAACUACUAAAAUGCAACUUUUUUUAAAAAAAUAUUUGCGGUUUGCGAUAACCACGAGUUGCUAAAAUCACAUACCGCAACUGCAACCGCAAUUUUCAGUUGGUUUUUAGCUAUUGCGGUAUAAUGUCGGUUGAUUUUUGCGGUUUUUCGGUAUAACAUGCCACCCCUACUAUUACUAGUAAAAGUGCCACCGAAAAUAUUAUCAGCACCUGUAUGUUGCUUUGCUCUUACUUGAAAAAAAAAAUACAUGAGAGUCAAACAAGGACUAAUAAGGGGCAAAGACCUAUCCCAAAUGACUAUUUUUUAUUACGAAAGAUUCAUCCCAAUAAUAAGUAAUUGCAUAUUAGGGGUGUUGUUAGAAGCACGUUAAAUUUUGUAUUGAAAAUUAAAGUGCAUUAUGGAAAAGCUCUUGAAAUUGUGAGAGUGAUUUAAGACUCAUAAUCAUUUUUAAAAUUUUCUUGCCGAGUAUGUCAAUAACGUCUUUCAUUGUGAGAAAAUGGUUUUAGUCGUUCCAUAACAAUGCCUAACAAAUGUGAAAUUGGUACUUAGGUGACGAGGGGUAAAGUUAAAUGCUAUUCAAGCGGACACAGCGAUCUUCACACACUUUAAACCUUGACCAAAUAUACUUAUGACUAGUCAAUUGCUAGUCUUGAAAAACCAUAACCAAAAACACACAUAGAGCAUAACAAUCUGUACUUGCAAGUUUAGAAGAUUAUUAGUGACAACCUAGGCACUUAGAAUGUAACACCCCGAGUCCAAAUUUAAUUCCUAUUUUAAAUUAUUUAAAUGAAUUUACGAAUUUACCCUUAGGGUAGGGGUAAAUUGGUCAAUUUCUUACCCAGAAAGUGUUUGGGGCAGUAACUGGUAUUUUUGGGUAGGUGGUACUAAGACGAAUUCAAAGACACGCGGUAGGCUUGAAUCGGAGUUGUAACGAAGAAGUUACGGGCAAAACACUAUCAGUGGCAAAAUCGUAAAUAUUUUGAAGUUUGGGUUUAAAAUAUCUGAUCUCUCUCCCUCUCUCUCUCUCUCUCUCUCUCUCUCUCUCUCUCUCUCGCGGCUGAACCCCCCUCCCCGUUUCGAUUUUUCGCCGGAAUUUCAGACGGCGAGAACUUCGCCGUCCGACCUCCAUUUCAGGCCCCGUUUCUUGCAAAAGCUUCCUCUCUUCCUCCUCUACCCAACCCACCCCUUUUCUCCGAUCGAAAACCCGACAAACGGCGGUGGCAACGACGUGAAAAAUAGCCAAAACUGCCGACGUCACCGGCAACGUUUCCGGCCAUCGCGAGCUGCGCCGUCACUUGGAACAGGUAGCUCUCCUUCCCUUCCAGCUGUUUCCUAGGUUGUGCGAUGACAAUGUCCACGGUGGUCGUCAGAUCGAAGCCGUGAAGUUCUGGGUUAAACCGUGAGUUUUCAACGCCGAUUCCGGCCCCUUGCCGUCCGAAUUGGACUUGGGUGUAGUUGAAUAAAGUGUUCCACUCGUCGAGUAGAACCUGUAGCCGGAAGGGUGGCUUGUAGUUUGGAGAUUUUCUAGCGAAGCUUUAUCGCUUUGGACACCCACACGCUGCCGGCACGUGGGCACUGUAGCAGAGGGGCAUUAUUGUCCCAAUGCGACCUCCUGGUUGGCACGAGCACGUAGGAUUUUGCGGAUCUCAAUUCGGACAUCGUUUGACUAUCGAACGAAUUUUUGCAUAUUGUGCGUUAUCCGGGUUCGAUAGGUUCCGACCGUUAGAUCCUUUCCGAAUUAAAAUAUGUUAUUCUAGGUAUUCCUAGGAUCGUAUAAGAAUUCUCGGAUCGUGAAUCGGAACCCCGGAUGUUCCGAUUCAAUAACUUAAAGUUUGCGUUUUAUAAUAACCGUCCGAUUGUGCGAUCGUAAGCCAUCUAACUGUCCGUUUCGGACCAAACUUGCGAGACGGGUAUCUUAGACCUUGUGAAACCUUUAGGAACUUUCGGGUUGUAAAACGGAGGUCGUGGGUCCCGUGGGCCCGGUUGACCCAAAUUGGGAAGUUUGACCACUGGUUGACCGAGUGUCUCCUGAAGUUAUUCCAUCGUCCAAAUCGGGUAGUUGGAUCUUAGAACGUCUCGUUCCUAGUACACUUACUAGAAACCUGGGAAAUUAGGAUAUUUAAUUUAAAGUACUCGUUCGAAACGUUUCGUAUUAAUCUCGUAUACGUAUUCUGAAUUAGGUACUCCGACUACGCAUACACAGCAGGCGGGACCCUCUCAGGGUCAAGCAGCGUGGGACUACUUGUGAGUGGACUUUGUUUUCAAAUCUUGUGCAUGGUUUUAUUGAUGAAAGAUUUAUGCAUAAUGUUUUUAAUGAUUUAUUGAAUAUAUUAUAUUCAUGAGUUGAAUUUGAUGUUUGUAUAGUGCUUUGGCAUAGUUGGGUAUUGAAAGUAUAUUUUAUAUGAAUUUUGGGAAAUAUUAUGUAUGAUGUUUUAAAUGGUAUUUUGGAUAUAUUAUUUAUGAAAUUGUUGAAAGUGAUAUUUUUAUGAGGCAUUGAAAAUAUAUUUUGGGUUUUGACGUAUUUGAGUAUCUUGAGUAUGAAUAUAUGGAUUUUGGGGAUUUCUAUAUAUAUUUGGCUAUGUGUGAGGUACUUGGGUUGUUGAGAUGAGAUUAUGGAAAGUGGUCAGUAUAGAAUGUCAGUUUGGUGUGCUGUAAGCACUACCCUAUGUACCUCCCCGGAUGUGGAACUUGGAUACGGAGACUUGAGAUACUUGGAAUUGUCGGGACUCGGGGCAUCCUUGACGGGAUGUUGCUGUAGACCCUUAAUUGGGUAGUCUGCGCUCGUAGGACUGAUCACAGACGUACGGAUUUUGAGGUUAUCGGCAGUACGCGCUGGCUGAGAGUUGGUCCCCCAGUUGGACAGCUCGUUCCCUAGUCACAUGGUGGAUUGAGGACUCAUCACGAGGACUCUGCCAGGGUGACUAGUCAAACAAUCCCCCGGUUGGAUUGUUUCCCCGGUACAACUAGGUGAUGGUUAUAUUUAUACUAUAUAUAUAUAUAUCUCUCUUAUAUUAUAUAUUUAUAUCUAUUCAUUCAUUCUUGUUUUUCGGUGUGGAUACUUCCUUGCCGGUCGUGCCAAUGGGUACGCUUUCGAGAGUUUGGUUGUGGGAUUUAUAAGUUUUUGGAUAGUAGGUUUUGUGAAGCGUUCGUUUUGGAUUUCGGACUUGGAAUCUGGUAUUGAUUUGUUUUGUUAUAUUAUAUAUAUAUAUAUACUUGAGUAUGACGGUUUUGAGAUGCAUGGGAUUUCUUGCAUGGUUUUCUAAACGGUGGGGUUAUAUUACGUUGGUUUACACUGAACUGAAUUUAUUUUUGUCUACUCACAAUUUUCUGUUUUGCGCCCCCCCAGCCAGUAGUUGACUGAGCUCCGCAGUAGAGCCGGAUCGUGCGCUUCCGAGCCUUGAGUCAUCGUAGGACUCUUUCUUCAUGUUAUUUCCUUUGUACUCUGUUUUGUUGUAAUUAAAGUCCUUAGACAUGCUCUGUUAUCGCCCCUGUUAGGGUUUGAAUUGUGAGGUCGGAGGCCAUUUUGUUGUAAACUGUUUAUUCGUUUCAAAGCAUGCUGCUGGUUAGGAUUAUUCUGUAUUUUUAUGCAGGUUGAAUUUUGUUGGUUUGUUCAAUUCACAGGGGAGACUCUGCCAAAAUUUUGGUGGAGAGUCUCGGUUUUUAGUAAGUGGGCCCGGCAUCGGGAAGAUGUCGGAAUAAAGAUGGGAUUCGCUCCGGUCUCCGGGGAAAUUCCGGGGCGGGUCCUGUCAUAGAAGGACCCGUUAAUCUAGGCAUCCCCUGUGCUAGCAACACUAUGGUAAAAGUGUGUGGAAACAUCAUAAUCAAGUAAACAGCAAAUAACAGAUAAUGAUGACUAGUCAACCGCAAGAACACAAACCCAUAAAUGCAUGAAUAUCAUGCGAUGACUAGUCAACUAUCAAGAACAUAAACCCAGAAAAUAACAAAGCUGCAAACCAAAAAUUGUUCACCCACAAACCUACAACUGGGAAAAACUGGGGGUCAUCAACAGACCAGGCAAUCCUCUAAGCGAAGAAAAUUCUUACAAAGGAACACAAGCAAGCUCAAAAAAUCCUAGAUCUAUUUAGGAAGAUAAGCUAUACCUCCUUUGUGCAAUCUUCUUAUCCAACUUAACAAAACCAGUAGCUUAUUCCUUCAUGGCAAUGGUAGCUCCUUCUUCGGCUCUUUCAUCACAGGGCACCAGCUAGCCAGCUCAAAUUCAGAUAGAAACCAAAAUUUGGAUUCAAGGAAAAAUGAUCAAUUUUUUCAAGAAACCAUGCUCUUGAAGAAAUCAAUCUUGAAUCUGACCAAGAUGUAUAUGAGGAUGUGUUUGUUGUGUAUCAUGCUUGUUGCAUAAUUCAGCUUGUCUAUGGGGAUAAUGGGUCAUUUAUGUAUCAUCAUGGAUAUGGUUAUGCACCAUAUGACACAUAUGCAACAUCUCUGUUAAAUUUACUUUUGAAUGUCAAUGUCCCUUCCAAUUAUGUUUAAAAUUCAGGACCUUGAGAAAACACCUCUUAUGUGAGAAACUUUUUUCUAUCCUGACAUCAUUGUGUAUCAUGUUUGUUGCAUAUUUCAGGCUGUUUAUGGGGAUAUUGGGUCAUUUAUGUGUCAUUUCAAGCGUAUAUGGGGUAACUUCACUUCAUCUUUUUUUUAAAAAAAAAAUGUUCCUCACCCCUCUGCCUCCCCCUUUAUUCAAAACAAGGGCAACCAUUAUCCCAUUUCAACCUCUCACAACUAGAGCUAAGCUAAAGCACAAGGGAAUUUUGCAAAGAGGUAUAUUUAAUAUGUGCAGCUUAUUUUAAUUUUGGCUAUUUAAUUUGGGAAUUUUAGGAGCUUAGUUUGAUUUGUAUUGUGUUUAUUUAAUUUGUGCAGCCUUGGUUUAAAGCUUUGGUUGCCUUUGCGAUUCGACAAGGAUUGAUUUCGUGAUUGCUGUGAAAGUAAUCAAAUAUAAAAAAAAAGAAAAAGAAAAAGAAAUUGCUUAAACACGUUUGGUACUUGGGCAUUUUUUGUUGAGUCUAAAUGUUAAAUUGCGACUUCUUUUUUUCUUUUUGGUUUAAUAUUGGAAUUUUAGCAGCUUGGUUUUAUUUUUAUUAUGUUCAUUUAAUUUGUGUAGGCCCUUGUGUAAAGCUUUGGUUCCCUUGACAAUUCAAAUAUGAAGAGUUGUUCCUAGGAACUUAUAGUAAUUUUACGUAUAUUUUUAUGACUUUUAAAAAUUAUAAAUUUUACAAAUAACAGAGAAAUGACAUGUCAUAAUUGCAAUGCUACAUCAGUACUUGUUUGCCACCAAAAUUUCGUAAACGCUUCAAAAGGAUUCGCUAGAGCUUCAACAUUGCUUCAUCUACUAUUCACUAAAGCUUCAUAAUAUUAUUUUUAUUUUUGGCUUAAGUGUCAAAAUGGUCCAUGUGUUUUAACACAAUGGCCAAUUUAAUCCCUGUGUUUUUAAUUUGGCCAAUUCGGUCCUUGUGUUUAUGAUCAUUAGCUAAUUUAGUCCAUCCAGUUAAAAUAGUCGUUAAAUAUGAACAUGAUUGGUUUUUUUUUUUUUUGAAAACGUAUAAAGCUUUUUUAAAUUAAAAAAAGUUGAAUUGAUUUAAAAAUAUUAAAACUUCAAUUAAACUAACAUAACAUUAGGGAAAAAAAAAACUUGAAAAAAUGAAGGAGGCGUAGUCCGGGGAGGGGAAGGGCUGCUUAAUGAGUGGAGUAGUGGGAAGAGGGGUUGACCAUUGCAGGGUGGGGGUGGGUGAUGAAUGAAGGCAUACAACAGAAGAGGGAGAGAUGGGGGUUGGAGAUGGUGUGAACGAUCUGGGAGCCAUGACUGAGGAUGGGGCAAAUGGCUAGGCAAGGGUUAGGUUCUGGAAGAUCUUGCUGGGAGCUGGUCAAAUAAGGGUAAAUGGCUAGACAAUGGUUGAACUCAAAUAAUUAUGUUUUUAAUUAAUGUUUAAAUAGUUUUAAAUUUUUUUAAACUUAGAUUUAAAAGAAUAGAUCACAUUGAUUAAUAGUUGUAAACACAAGGACUUAAUUAGCUAAAUUAGAAACACAUGGACUAAAUUGACCAACGUAAUAAAACACAGGGUCCAUUUUAGCAUUUAAGCCUUUAUUUUUUGACUAAGUCUUCAUUAGUGCUUUUAUGAAUGUUUUAAGAUGAACUCAAAAGACUUGGAAAGUGUAGCACUGAGUUUGUAGAAUUUUUUGUUCUGUAGUUUUUGGCUAUUUAAUGAAUUAUUAUGAUUUUUAGAAGAGUGCACCAUGAGUGCUUCUGACAAGCGACAUUUCGUGUAGCGCCACGUGUCAACAAGGUUUUAUUUUGUGUUUGUUUAUCUUUAAAAAUUCACAAACAAUUAAUUUUUAAAAAAAAUCCUUAAUAUCUACAAAUUUUAUGUGACAUUAUCUUCGACUAUGAUGUGCAAAAAUCAAAAUUUGACUUUAGAAAAUUUGAAUUAAUAAUUCCAGGAAGAGUUGUAGUGAGGGAGUUUGAGUUUGAUAAAGUAUUUGAAACUUUUUUUAUCUCAAAAUAUAUUUUAAUGCUUAAAAGAUGAAGAAAAAAUCAAAAGGAGUUCGUAGGAUUUUUCGGUACAUAUUUAUGAUUUUUGGAAAUUAAAGCAUCGAAAAAUAGUAAUAAAUGGAAGAGAAUGACAAGUGGAAGCACCUAAAUGUUGCAUCAUCAAUGCUUCAGACAGGUAUCAUUCUCACGUAACACCACAAGUCAUCAGCGAUAGCACUUCUCAUUCUCUUCCAUUUAUUACUAUUUUCCAAUGCUUUAACUUCAAAAAAGUCAUAAUAAAUCAGAAAAAUACACCAACAAAUCCUAUGAAAUCAUUGCAACAUUUUUUUUUUCAUCUUUUAUGUUUUAAAAUAUAACUUUGACUUAUAUAAAAUUCAAAUAAUUUCACAAAGUCAAGUUGCUUCCAUACUAACAAUAACACUAAGUUGAAGAUCACUAGUCUUCAUCACUACAACUCUUCCUCCAAUUAUUCUUUCCAAUUUCUCAAAGUCAAAUUUUGAUUUUCUAGUAUCCUAGUCGAAGAUAAUGUCACAAGGAAUUUGUAGGAAUUUUCAGUGUAUUUUUCUAAUUUUUAAAUAAUUUUCUGUGAAUUUUUUAAGAUAAACUCACAAAAAUGAAACAUGAAUUACACGUGGACCUAUGAGAUAUUGACACCCGUUGGAAAAUCUGACGACGAACCCAUCAGCUGCUGCCAUGUGUCAUUAUGUUUCAUUUAUUACUAUUUUCCUAUAUUUUGACUUCCAAAAAUCAUAAUAAAUUCAUAAUAAAUUUGAAAAAUUCACCAAAAAAUGCCUCGGACUCCUUGUGAUAUUUCCAACAUCUUUUGAGACUUAAAAUACAAUUUUAACUUAGAGAAGAAUUCAAAUAAUUUCAUAAAGUCGAGUUUGCUUCCACACUAACAAUAAUACUAAAUUGAAGGAUCACUAGUCUUCAUCAAUACAACUCUCCUUCCAAUUAUUCCUUCAAAUUUCUCAAAGUCAAAUUUUGAUUUUCGAGUAUCAUAGUUGAAGAUAAUGUCGCAAGGAAUUUGUAGAAAUUUUCGGUGUAUUUUUCUGAUUUUUUAAAUGAUUUUUUAUGAAUUGUUUAAGAUCAACUCACAAAAAUAAAACAUGAAUGACACGUGGACCUAUGAGAUACUAACACCCAUUGAAAAAGCUGACAAUGCACCCAUCAGCAGCUGCCAUGUGUCAUUAUCUUACAUUUAUUACUAUUUUCCUAUAUUUUGACUUCCAAAAAUCAUAACUAAUUCAUAAUAAAUCUGAAAAAUUCACCAAAAAAUACCCUAGACUCCUUGCGACAUUUCCAACAUCUUUUAGGACUUAAAAUAUAAUUUUGAAUUAGAUAAAAUUCAAAUAAUUUAACAAAGUCAAGUUGCUUCCAUACUAACAAUAACACUAAGUUGAAGAUCACUAGUCCUCAUCACUACAACUCUUCCUCCAAUUAUUACUUCAAAAUUUUCAAUGUCAAAUUUUGAUUUUCGAGUAUCAUGGUCGAAGAUAAUGUCGCAAGGAAUAUGUAGAAAUUUUCAGUGUAUUUUUCCUAUUUUUUAAUGAUUUUUCGUGAAUUUUUUACAAUAAACUUACAAAAAUGAAACAUUAAUGACACGUGACGCUAGGAGAUACUGAAACCUGUUGGAAAAGUUGAAGACACACCCAUCAGGCGCUGCCAUGUGUCAUUUUCUUCCAUUUAUUACUAUUUUCCAAUAUUUUGACUUCCAAAAAUAUAAUAAAUUCAUAAUAAAUCUGAAAAAUUCACCAAACAAAUACCACGGACUCCUUGCGACAUUUCCAACAUUUUUUUAGACUUAAAAUAAAAUUUUGACUAAGACAAAAAUUCAAAUAAUUUCACAAAGUCAAGUUUGCUUCCAUACUAACAAUAAUACUAAGUUGUAAAUCACUAGUCUUCAUCACUAUAACUCUUCCUCCAAUUAUUACUUCAAAUUUUUCAAUGUCAAAUUUUGAUGUUUGAGUAUCGUAGUCGAAGAUAAUGUCGCAAGGAAUAUAUAGAAAUUUUCGGUGUAUUUUUCUGAUUUUUUUUAAUGAUUUUUCAUGAAUUUUUUAAGAUAAACUCACAAAAAUUAAACAUUAAUGAUACAUGGCGCUAUAAGAUAUUGACACCCGUUGGAAAAGCUGAUGAAGCACCCAUCAAGAGCUGCCAUGUGUCAUUUUCUCCCAUUUAUUACUAUUUUCUAAUAUUUUGACUUCCAAAAAUCAUAAUAAAUUCAUAAUAAAUCUGAAAAAUUCACCAAAAAAAUACCCCAGACUCCUUGCCCAGACUCCUUGCGACAUUUUCAACAUCUUUUGAAACUUAAAAUAUAAUUUUGACUAAGAGAAAAAUUCAAAUAAUUUCACAAAGUGAACUUUGCUUCCAUACUAACAAUAACCCUAAGUUGAAGAUCACUAGUCUUUAUCACUACAACUCUUCCUCUAAUUAUUACUUGGAAUUUUUCAUACUCAAAUUUUGGUUUUCGAGUAUGAUAGUCGAAGAUAAUGUCGCAAGGAAUAUGUGGAAAUUUUCGGUGUAUUUUUUUGAUUUUUUAAUAAUUUUUCAUGAUUUUUUUAAGAUAAACUCACCAAAAUGAAACAUUAAUGACACGUGGCGAUAUGAGAUACUAACGCCCAAUGAAAAAGCUGACGAAGCACCCAUCAGGUGCUGGCAUGUGUCAUUCUCUUCCAUUUAUUACUAUUUUUCAAUAUUUUGACUUCCAAAAAUCAUAAUAAAUCUGAAAAUUUUAUCAAAAAAUACCACGGACUCCUUGUGACAUUUCUAACAUUUUUUGAGACUUAAAAUAUAAUUUUGACUAAGAGAAAAAUUCAAAUAAUUUCACAAAGUCAAGUUUGCUUCCAUACUAACAAUAACACUAAGUUGAAGAUCACUGGUCUUCAUCACUACAACUCUUUCUCCAAUUAUUACUUCAAAUUUUUCAAUGUCAAAUUUUGAUUUUCUAGUAUCAUAGUCAAAGAUAAUGUAGCAAGGAAUAUGUAGAAAUUUUUGGUGUAUUUUUUUGAUUUUUUAAAAUGAUUUUUCGUGAAUUUUUUAAGAUAAACUCACAAAAAUAAAACAUUAAUGACACGUGGCGCUAUGAGAUAUUGACACCCGUUGGAAAAGCUAAUGACGCACCCAUCAUGCACUGCCGUGUGUCAUUUUCUUCCAUUUAUUACUGUUUUCCAAUAUUUUGACUUUCAAAAAUCAUAAUAAAUCUGAAAAAUUCACCAAAAAAAUACCCCAGACUCCUUGCGAGAUUUCCAACAUCUUUUGUGACUUAAAAUAUAAUUUUGACUUAGAAAAAAAUUCAAAUAAUUUCUCAAACUCAAGUUUGUUCCUAUAGUACCUAUAACACUAAGUUGAAGAUCAUCACUCUUCCUCACUAUAACUCUUCCUUCAAUUAUUACUCCAAAUUUUCAAAAGUCAAAUUUCAAUUUUCACGCAUCAUAGUUGAAGAUAAUUUCUCAAGGAGUUUUUUAAAAAUUUCAGUGCAUUUUUCAGAUUUUUAUUAAUUUUGUGUAAUUUUUUUAAGUCAAGCACACAAAAAUGAAACUUUGAUGGCACAUGGCACUAUGAGAUACUAACACCUGUCGAAAACUCAUCAUGUGCUACCAUGUGUGAUGCUCUUCCAUUUAUUACUAUUUUUCAAUGCUUUAACUUCCAAAAAUCAUUAAAAAAAAUCUGAAAAAUUCAUAAUAAAAAUCCUAGGAACUCCUUACAAUAUUUUCUUCAUCUUUUAAGUUUUAAAAUAUAAAUUUGACAUAUAAAAAGUUCAAAUAAUUUCUCAAGACAUUAUCACUCGUCAUUUUCCCCCAUUCAUUGCAUUUAAUACGAAUUUUUGAAGUUAAAGCAUAGAAAAUAUAUAAAUAAACUGAACAUAAUGACACAUGGGAACAGAAAAAUGAUGCGACUUCAGUUCUUUAAACGGGUGUCCUCUUAUAGCGCCAUGUGUAAAAAAUGUUUCUUUUUAAUAUUGUUUAGCAAUAAAUGGGAGGAAAUGACAAGUGCGAGUGCCUUGAGGCUGCAUCCUCAAUGCUUCUCACGAGUGUCACUCUCAAUGGCACCAUGCGUCAUUAAAGUUUCAUUUUUGUAUGUUUAUCUUAAAAUUUUUACAAAAAAUUUAUAAAAAAUCAGAAAAAUAAAUGUGUCAGAGCAGUGUUUAUAACACGUGUCAUUGUUGAAUUACACCACGUAUUUCUAGAAUUACUCUAAGUGUAGAAUAAUAUUUCACCAAAUAUAUGGGUUAAAAUAAGUUCCAUUAACAUUUAUACAGUCAAUAGGUGUACAAGAAAGUUAAACUGAGGUUUCACACAUAUUUCACGUAAUAUGCACUAAUGUUUCACUUAGUGUUCAUCCGAACCUAACUUGUGCAAUUAUCGCCAAUUAGAAGAGUCAUAAAGCCUUUAAUUACUCUACACUUCUUCACUGAUCCUUCUGCAACCAAAGAUUUGAAAAAUAACAGAAAUUGUCAACAACAAAAAAAAUUUAUCUAGCGAGAGUCGAACUGCAAAAUCAAAUGGUAACCGUACAACUGAGUUCUUACCUAGCGAGAGUCUAAGUGCACAAUCAAAUAUCCACAGAGAAAAUUGUUGAAGGGGCACAAGACCCAGAUGGGAAAUAUCGAUAAAAUCAAUUAAGUAAAAAAAGAGUUGAGAAACUUGCAAAACUUACUGAGCGGAAGAACAUGGGAAUAUAUAGGAGCAACCAAGAACUUAAAUUGGGAGCCCGUGCUUCUCUUUCUAAUAGCAGCCUCCCUUUCAACAUAUUCAUGUACACAAUUUGAUAUCAAUUACUAAUACAGAGAAUAAAUUUCUAUGAAUUGAAAGGCAAAAUCUAUGUUGUGGGUUUCGCGGAACUUACUGAUUAGAGGGAUUAGACGAUGGGGGCCAGGAGGCCAUGGCGGAAAAAUUUCUGAAGAUGAGAGGAGUGAUGCUUUGUAUAGAAAUGGAAGCAAGGAAAUGGGUAAAUUAAGGGCAUGAUCUGACCUGGUUCCCUAAAGCACCUCACCACCCUGAUUCCCACAUGAAACUACCACGCACCAGACACAAAAAACCAUUGACUCUUAGAAGUUGAUUUACUCCUCCUAAUCAACUGCCCCUCAGCACUUUGGAGAUAGUAAAACCCAGUUUGUUUAGGAUUCCUCUUCAAGAGAAAGGAGCACAUCAUAUGGUGAAUGCUCGGUUCAAAUGAAUUCACUUCAUUCCAUAUCACGUACAUGCUCUGCAACGUCCGAUAAAUGUUCUGAUUCAUCUGGAUGAGGUGCAAUACCCAGCAAUGUCCAAUAAUUCACAUCGUAGUGGCAAGCUUCCAUUCCCACUCUUCAAAAUCUCUCUCUCUCUAUAAGAGCAUUUCCACCAGUUAGCCCCUUGUCAUGACAAGAGGAGCCCUAGGGCAGUUACUAUUCACGUGAAUAGUGGCUGCCCUAGCCCCCUCAGCAAAGUGUGUUUCCAGCAGUUUAGACUUGUCAUGGCAAAUACUAUUCUUUUUUUUUUUCACAACUUUUUUUUACUUAAACAAUUAAUUUGGAUAAUAUUUUCAGAUAAGAUUUUUGGGUUUCUACGUGUCAAUACUAUUCAUAUUAGAUAAUAUUUUCGGAUAAGAUUUUAUUUUAUUAGUUGUAUUGGUUGGUAUUUAUAGGAAAAAAAAAGUAUGAGGAUUUGGUGUUAAAAGUGAAGAGUAUUGGUUAGUAUUUAUAGGCACUGGCGAACCCAAAAUUUUUGUAGCAGAGGUGCAAUAUUGACUAAGUAUGAAAAAUAAUUUUUUGGAAUAAUCAUUUUCUCAAGAUAAUUUUUUGGCAGCUUUUAUUCCUUACACAUCAAUAAAUAAGAAAACUUGAUUUUAUGAAAUUUUAAUAUGAAGUAUACAUUGACUUAAUGAGCCAUCAUUUUUAGCCUAAAUCGUAUUUUGCACUAAAACCGAUUUUUCAUAUUUUGAUUUGAUGAGAAUUUGAUUUUCUAGUAUUUUUAUUUGAAUCCAAAUAGAGGGUACUUCCUUAUUUACAUUGUAAACUUAAGUAAAUGGAGUAAUAUAAAAAUAAAUGAAAAUAAAAGGACAAAGACAUUUACUUAAAUGUUGAAAAUGGAAAUAAGGUAUAGAGAAAAAAAAAAUCAGUAAUUUUUUUGGUAUUUUUUUAAAAAAAUAUCAUUGUAUAAACAUUGGCUAUUGUUGGAUUGCUGGAAAAAAUAUGAUCGGAGAGCCUAGCGCUCGCCACGUGGACGAUUUAAAAAAAUUUGGACGCAGGGCUGACGUCGACGUGAUGUCAGGACGCUGACAUCAGCCUUGCCCUCGGGCCAGCCCAGUCUGCUGGGUCCCACUAUUUGCCUGGGCUUGCUUUUGUUGCUGGAAACCACUUUUUUGUCCAAACCCCCUAGCUCGAGUCCAUCCUUAGCUGCUGGAAAUGCUCUAAGUAGAUCUCUCUUCUCUUACUCCCACUCUGUCUCUAUUCUUUAAUCAACCUGUCUCUCAUGAAACUUUUGUCGAACACAUAAUGGUGAAGUGGCAGCCUUCUCCGAAUUCCAGCAGCCAAAUUUGUGAUGAGGCUUCCAAAUUUAAUGCCUUUUGUAAUUUUUUAGAUAGUUAACACAUUUAUUCAUUUUUAACCAUAAAAAUCCAAUAUGUUUAGAAAGCUUCCUGAGAAACAAGGAAAAGAAGAAUAAAUUCUUGUUUUUCAUUUCUGGGUAAAGCCAAGAAGCAAGAAAAAGAAGAAUAAAUUCUUGUUUUUCAUUUCUGGGUAAAGCCAAGAAGUUCAAUAUUUGAUAAUUGUUAAUAUAUUUUGUGAGUUGUUGAGAGAUGAGAUUUUGGGGCAAAGUUAAGAAGAAGGAAAAGAAAGAAAAAGACAGGACGUGGAGGGCGUGAGAAAGAAAUAGAAACAAAAAAGGACGUUAACUUUGUCGUUAGUUGGAUUAGGGUUUUUUUUUUCUUUUUCUUUUUUAAGUAAGAGUAAAUUGGGUUUUUGUUUGAAGGAUGAUGUGUCAAUUUUUAAGUUCCUUAUAUUAAAUUUUAAUGAGGUGUCAUCUAUAUAUAUAAAGCAAAAGGCAGAGAAUGGUGAAACAUUCAAAAUACCAGAAAAUGCCCUUGGUUAAUGCACAUUAAGAAUUAAAAUUAUUAAUUAAAUGAGGAUAAUAUGGUAAAUUCAUAAUUUUUCAUAUUAAAAAAAUUAAAAUUAAAAGAAAAUUCAGAUAAUGGAUCCUAUUUUUAUGGAACACAACUAUCCAUUAUCUUUUUUAAUUCGAAAAUAAAUUUAAAUUUUUUUAAAAAAGCCUUUCGCAGGCGCAGAAGCGCGUGCAGAGAGGCUAGUAUGAAUAACAAAGUAAAGUAAAUCAUGACAGAGAAAAUCAGAGCAAAAGAUCCGGAUACUACAGAAAGCUAUAUGUCUGCCGACGCUAUUAAAAGCAUGCUCCUUUCACAGUGUUUUUGACAGGCUAUAAAGAUUCUUUAUAGCGGUGUAUUCUUUAUAGCAUGUUUUCAUUGCCAUUGCAUUUGUUUAAUAUAUGGGAGCUUUAGUAAUACACCCAAAAUAGGAGCUGAAAUUAUAAAAAAAUCCUACAUGAAAUUCAAUUUAGAAACACACCCAAAAACCCAUUUAUUAUAUAUGAAAUGAGUGUUGAAGUUACUAUAAAUUACAUUUUUGCCAUUGAUUAACUUAAAACAAGCCCAACACAAAAAAUACUUAAAAAAAUCCAAAACAAACCCUGCAAGCUCUAAGUACAUUGUUAAUACCAUGACAUAAAAGUACAGUGUUAAUACGAUGUCAUAGAAGUACAUUGUUAAUACCAUUUCAUAGAAGUACAUUGUUAAUACCAUGUCAUAGAAGUACAUGUCAUAAAAUUACAUUGUUAAUACCAUUCCAUAGAAGUACAUUGUUAAUACCAUUCCAUAGAAGUACAUUGUUUAUACUUUGUCAUAGAACUAUCUUGUUAUUACUAUGUCAUAGAACCAUGUUGAGUCCUUUCCAAAGGCAUAAACUUCCCAGCAUCACUGAUCAACAUUGUCCUGCCAGCUCCAACAAUGAAGAAUAUUAUUAAUAACAAGAUACCUCUACAAAAAAAAAAAAAGUACACUAUUAAUACUACGUCAUAGAAGUACAUUGUUAAUACUAUAUCGUAGAACCAUCUUCCUAAUAAAAAUCACAUUCUGCAUAUCAUAAACUUCAAGUGAAUGGUAUGGAGUUGUACACUUUUAUCUUACCUAUUAUGCAAAUGAAAUGAUGUAGUUGUUAACUUCUAAAUAAUCCUCAUGAUACUGAUGGCUUUCCAAUUCGAGCAUAGGGUGCUAACAUGCCAACCAAAGCAAUGUCAACAGCUAUUCCAACUAAAAGAUCAGCAGCGUACAACUCAAACUCAGCCUAGAAAUCCUUUCCCAUUUUCUGAAAAUGUUGCACAACAAGAAUCUAUGACUAUCUACAUUACAAAAGAGUCAAGGAAGAGAAAUUUCUUCAAUAUUCAACAAGAUCAACAACUAUCAAAUGUAACGGUCCAAUUUGAAGGCAAGGUAUAUUUAAUGGAAUUCAUAGGACUAUCACCAAUCCAAACAAUGACCCACAAACUCAAUUACUGAUAUUUACAGUGAAAAAUGCAGAGCUACAAUUCUUUCAAGAGAACUAUUAAUUUACAGUCCCUUGACUUGAAACACAAAUUACUCAAAAACAUUAUUUACCAAAAAGAAAGAUCACGAAAACAAACCUCUGUCCCAACUUUAAAAAGAAAGGAAGGAUAAGCCAGCAUACGAUUUCGUAGCAUAGAGCAAUACUUCAUCAAAAAGCCCAGUGGCCAAAUUGACCCCUGAAAUUCGAAAAUAUAUAUAUAUAUAUAAAUUAGAAACCCAAUAAGUAACUUAGCAAAAACCAUAUAUCUGAAGAUUUUUCAAUAGAAAUGGAGACCAACAUACAAACAAUAAUUGGACAAUACUAGAAAAAACCAUGAAUAUGGAACCAUAACAGGAAACCCAAAGUCGUAUCAAUACCUGAUAUGUCUUUCAGGAACUUGACUCAAUAAAGCAUUAAUAACUAGAGAGUUAUCGAGGUACAAAGGCAAAAGCUUGCAAACAAAUAAAUAGUACCAACAACAACAAAAAAGUAAACAUUUCCUUACUAGAACCAUUGCAUCAAAAGGCAACCCUGCACCAGCGGAAGGAGCAACAAAAGAUGUGCUAAUUCCAAUUUUAUCAUAUGGGGAAUGAAGAGAUACUCCCAAAAAACCAGCAGGAGGUCUAGUACCAGAAGCAUUUGUGGAAUUCUCAUUCACUUCCCCAUUAGUUGUAGGCCUGAGCUGAGUAUGGACUUUCACAUCAUUAUCUGUUGCCCAGAAGAUUAUGAAAACAAAUCAAUCAGGAUGAAGCAUUUGGUUAGGGGUGCAUGUCCCAAUUUAGGACCAUUACAGAAUUCCUUGUCCUUCAUUCAAGUAAGUCGGAAACUAUCCCCUUUUCUUUGCAAAAUUGAUAGAUGAGGGAUGGGCAACAAAAACAAGCCACAAAAUUGUUCCCUCCCACAACGAAACUCAGAAAUCCUGAUUAAAAAUUCUCACACUACAAACGCAAAGUAUCUAAUGAGAAAUAGGUACCAUACCAGCAAAUUGCAUGCUUCCAGACCCAUUGUUCCUUUGAGUGUGGUGGUUGUCUUCCUAAUAGAUGAAAUCCAAGAUUACUUUAACUUCAUGCAUAAAUAUCAUCUAACCAUCACAUACAACAAAGGGCCAAAAUCCAUCACAUAUGAGCAGACAUAAUGAAAGGAAAUUCUUACUUUAGUGUUGCCAUCACUGCCAUCUGUCAAACCAUCAAUAUUUUGUUCCAAACUGCACAUGGUCAUAGAAUCAAAAUUUAGAUUGGCUACAUCCAGAGACAACAUCAUAAAACUUACUGGAAGCCACUGCUUGACAAUUAGUAUGGUCUAGGGCAGAUGACAAAUAGUUUUUCUAUUUUUCUAUUUUGAAAAAGCCCAUCUUUCACAGCAAUGUAGCUGCAAAGUAAGUCUACCCUGCUACACAUGUUUAGAUGCACACAAAAGUAUAGAUAUAUGACCUAUGAGAAACAGGUACACACACAUGCUGUAAAACGCAGGCAACAUAUAUCAGGGAUAACUCCCUUAAUAUAGUUGUCAUAAUUUAAAGUGAAGUCAAACUUCCCGGGAAAGAGACCUAUCUAACUAAAAUUAGAUCUAAAUAACAUCAAUGAGACCUCACAAUCAAGCUAGAUAAAAAAAAUCUUCAAAAAUUAUUGAAUUAACAAUCCUUUAAAAGACGUGUACGAUAUCCAUCUAAUCCUUGCUAGUGACAAAGCUCUGAACCCAGAGUAGGCAAAGGGUUCACAAAAACAAGAGAUACCCAGUGAGUCAACUCGAAACACAGCUUCAAUUAUGAAUUACCAAGGUCCUGAGCAAAUCUAAACCAAUCCAAUCUUCCAUUAAAUUGGUGAGAUGAUGGAAUAAGACCAAACCGAUGAAUAAUUUAACACUCAAUUCAAUAACUGGGGAGCUAAAGAACAAAAUCACAAAACAGAGGCCAAAUUUCAGACCAUCAAUUAAACUUUCACUCAAUUUUCUCUUCAUCCAAACAGAUGGUGGUAUCUAAUUUGUUCAAAUCCGCACUUCACCAAAUAGAUCCGCACAAAAAAUCAACAUAGUUACAACAGUUCAUCACAAAUCCAUACGUACAAUCGUGUGAUCUAUAUAUCAGUUCCGACACAGAAACAUCAAAUUCUAACAGUAUUAACCACUUCCAUAAAAAUCAGAUCCAAAAACCCAUUAAUCUAGAAACAUAAAUCGAAACCAAAUAUCAACAAUUAAAUGCAAAUAUAGAUAUACGAAAUUAAAGAUUAUGAGUCGGAGAGAGAGAGAGAGAGAGAGAGAGAGAGAGAGAGAGAGAGAGAGAGAGAGAGAGAGAGAGAGAGAGAGAGAGAGAGAGAGAGAGAGAGAGAGAGAGAGAGAGAGAGAGAGAGAGAGAGAGCAAACCAGAUUAGAAUGAGAGCUAGAGGAAAGGGCCUCGAGCUUUGUAAGUCAUCCGUGGAAAGCAGAAACCGGAAGAAAUUGGAAGCAUUUGGAUCCAGAGAAACAGAGUUGUGUAAGAAACGAAAGUGAAAAUUUCAUAACGGAGAGAAAUAACCGAAAGGUCAAAACCGUAAUCUAACAUAGUAAAUAAAUCCAAAAAUUGACAGCUGUCGAUUUUUGGGUUUAUUUUGAGUGUGUUUCUAUGUAUUAAAUAGUGUAAGGUAUAUUUAUAGUUUCAUGUCUAGGAAUGGGUUUUUCACUAAUUUUUUAUUAAUAUAUCUCUUCCAUCUUUUAAUUUGGCUGAAAGAAACAACACUAUAUAUAAGCACCACAAGAAUGGAAACGCACAUCUUCUACUAAAUAAGUUGCUGCCAAUAUUUUUCCAUUAUGAGAUAAACUAAGUAGAUCAUAGUGCACAGGAGCACUAUCCAAAUCAAGUGUAAUUGGAAACACAUAACUGCUAACACAUAAUACGUAACUGUAUUUUCCUUUUCAUUUUAGGAUAACACUGAUUACCUUCUAAUGUGGAUAAAAUAAUCUUCUAUGCUCUUGCUCUUCAUCUUCUUCGAGUCUUGUAUUUCCUCAACUACAGCAUUAUGUAUUAGUUAAAAGGGUUAGUUACAUUUUUGGUAAUUGAGAUUUGGCUCAAAAUCAAAUUUGGUAACUGUAAUUUCAAUUUUUCUGAUUUGGUCAUUGUACUUGCAGCUGUUAACAAAUCAAGUCUAAUGUCUCAAUUAUGUCAAUUUCAUUAAUUAAAAAAUAUUUAAUAUUAAGUUAAAAAUAAUUAACUUCAAUAUAAAAUUUAAGUAUAAUAUAUUUGAAAAGAAAAUUAAUAAGAUUAAAACUUAAAUUUAAAAAAAUUACCAAUAUAUAUAUAUAUAAAAUAUUUAACGGUGAGUGAUCACAAUAUCUUGGACUCCUGUGGUCAAAGAAAUUGGGACUAUAUAUAUAUAUAUAUGCCCCCUCAUCACUAUUGAAAUGAAAUGAAUAAUUGGUGGACCAAAAUUAUACUGGAGCAAAAGUUAGGAAACCAUUUCUAUCAAAAAUUCUAUUUUAUUUGAGUAUGUAAAAAAAACAUGUAAGAAGAUACAACAAUUGAUCUAAAGCUAUUGAACUGUACUAUUGCAAGUUAAAAUGCAAUUCAAUUCAAUAGAUGUAAAAAUAGUUUAGCAACCUUUUUUAAAAUUUUUUUGGGUAAAAACCAUGAGGUGUUCCCACACCCGAAGGGUAGAAUUAAUCCCUACUCGAGGUUCGGCUUGCCCCUAACUGCAAAAUACUUCCAACAAAUUUCGAACCAUUACCAUUUAAGUACUAAGUAGCUCGCUAGCUAAAAAUAGCAGUUUACCAACCGCAUCACGCUUGUGAUUGUCCAACAACCAUUCUGAAUGCUCUGAAAGACAUGAAAUAAUACAAAAGGGCUAUCUUUAUUAGACAAUGAAAAGCACGUGGUAGAGCAGUUUCAAUAAAUGAGGGUGCGUUCCAUCAACAAUGAUGCGCUGAACCUCCAUACUUGAAGCUUAGUGAGAAAAUAUAUUAGAAACUACAAAGGUUUGGAGUGUUAGGCAGGGCCUUGCAAAUGUCAGUCAACGUGAGAGUGAGGGAGUCAGUGGUGGUGAAGCCAGAGGAGGAAACGCCAAAACGGGCGCUGUGGAUAUCGGACUUGGAUAUCGUGAUUUCGGCAACUCACCUUGGAAGUGUUUACUUCUACAGGAGGCCAAACGUUCAAAACAACUGUGUCUUGGAUUCGGAGGUGCUCAAGUGCUCCCUUGCCAAGGCCCUCGUGCCCUUCUACCCGGUGGCCGGCCGCCUGAAGCUGAACGAUGAGGGACGUAUCGAGAUGGAUUGCAAUGCAGAGGGAGUGCUGUUUGUUGUGGCGGAGACUGCCUCGGUCCUCGAUGAUUUCGGGGACUUUGCGCCGACUCUUGAGUUCCGGAAGCUCGUUCCUGCUGUUGAUUAUUCCGCUGGGAUGUCCUCUUAUCCCCUCUUGGUGGUACAGGUAUUCAGAGAAAGAGAGGAGACAUUUUUUUCACUCCUUUCUUUUAUUUCUCUUGCUCAUAAUAUCAUUCGGGACAAUUCUUGAACCUGAUAUGACUUAAACUUACAAAGUAUGGUUCUGGUUUUACUCUGUUUAUGCAUCAGGUCACAUACUUCAAAUGUGGUGGAGUGUCACUUGGUGUUGGCCUGGAACAUCGUGUAGCAGAUGGCUUUUCUGGUCUCCACUUUGUAAAUACAUGGUCUGAUAUCGCUCGAGGUCUUGACCUUACAAUUCCACCAUUCAUCGACAGGACAUUACUUCGUGCCCGAGACCCACCACAGCCUGCAUUCGAUCACACUGAAUACCAACCUGAUCCACCCAUUAAAACCGGUACAAAAGCUGUAGGUGAUGAGAGCGCAACGGUAUCC